UUAUUGGAAACGACACAAAGAUAUAUUGAUAGAAAAAGAAGUACAAGAAGAAGGAUGAGAAAUCCUCCCGCCAAAGACAACUAAAUUACAUGAAAAUACACAUAAAACAAACAAACUCCCGCUAAGGACCAAUCCUUAUGGAGUACACACCGCUAUCCAAUCCAGUUGAAUCACAUUAAGGAGAGUCCCCUUAAAUGCCUUGGAACAGAAAGCCCAAAGGGAAGCAAGGAAAACAAUAGAGUCCCAAAGGAUCUCUGAAUUCCUUGCUUUAUCCUCGAAAAUCCUUGCAUUUCUUUCCCACCACACAACCCGAAUUAGAGUUAUGCUCUCAGCUUGCCACAAAACUAUCCCUCUCUUAGAAUUACUGAAGCCUUUAAAUUUGAUGCACAUCAUGUCAUAUAUGCUCCUUGGAGGAACCUAAUCCAUCUCAGCUAACUGAAAUAACCUGUGCCACAACCCAAUCGUCAAGGAACAAUGAAGAAAAAGAUGAUCUGCUGAUUCCCCAUGCUUCAUGCACAGAAUACAAAUAUUAGGACUAAGGGCUUUGUAGGGUCCUUGACCAUUUUAUCAAAUACAAUUCCUUUCCAUCUAGCCAAUUUUUUAUGGAAAUCAAGAGUUCCUUCUAAGGUCAUAGUCUUUACUUGGCUAGUAGCACAUAAAAAGGUAAACACCAAUGACAUGCUACAAUUGAGAAGGCCCUUCAAAGCCCCUUGUCCUGAUUGGUGCAUCCUGUGUAGGGGGAGAGAAGAGACAACUGAUCAUCUCAUCCUACAUUGUCCAAUUAUUUUGGGGUUAUGGCACAAGCUAUUCUACCAAGUUGGAAUGGUGUGGGUUCAACCAAGGAGUAUUUGUGACAUGACAGUUAUUUCCUUUUAUGUGUUUUGAGAAUUCUAUUAAAGAUAAGACUCUUUGGAAGAUUGGUUCUCUCACUUUGAUGUGGAUUGUGUGGAGAGAGAGGAAUGCCAGGAAUUUUUAGGAGACUUACAAAUGCCUAAAAUGAUGUAGGACUUGAUUCAUUUCUUUGUUUCUUUUUAGGCCUACUAUACUAAUGUUUUCAAACCUUUCCCCUUGAGUGCCAUUCAUCUCUCAGUAUGUACACCUUAGGGUUGGGCUUUCUUGGUGAGGAGCCGAGUUGAGCUUUUAGUGUUGUAUUUUUUGUAAUCUUUUUAUUAUUUUUGUGCAAAUCUCCUUGAAAAGCAAAGGUUUUCUUGCAUGUUUUGAUCAGAUUUGUAUUUCAUGGGGAGGAUUUCUCAUCCUUCUUAUGUUUUCUUAUCAUUAGUUAAUACAUCUCUUUUAGUAAGUUUUUGGGAUUGCCAGUGGAUGGAAUGAGAAGGAAAUUGCUUCCCUGUUGAGAAAGAUGGAAAGCAGAAAGAGUCAAAGGAAUUCAAUCAAAAAGAGGAGGCCACCCUCCACGCCCCGUUUAGUCAGGUAGUUGCGAAACUUGAAAUGCUCGGUCAAUUACUGCAACUCAAAUAUAAGAAAGAGGAGCAGGAGUAAUUGGUGGGAGAUGGAGUAUAAGUGAUUGUGUUCUAGGUUUAUAAUUCCUAAGGGUCGAAGGUGGUGGGCUCAGGGAGGGCUAAGAAGAGCGGCUUUGGCAGUUUUCACCCAAUCUAGGGUUUUUUGUCUAAUUAGGUUGUAAAAGUGAAGCCUUUAGUUAGGAGGGCUGGUUUGUGGUUGCUCUUUUUUUUCACUUGUAUUCGGUUGCUUCUUGUAUACUUUGUGCGUACUCUUUAUGCCUUUUCCAAGUGCUUUUAAUAUAUUUGCUUUGUCUAACUAUCAAAAAAAAAAAAAAUAUUGUCAUUGUAUUAAUAUCAAAAUUUAGUAACGAACUUCAGAUAAAUCUAACCAACUUUUCACUUCCCCAAAAUAUAAAAGUCCUAAUUGCGCACACAAAACUUAGGGUCAGGAAGUUGUUGCCUCUCACAAUUCAAAUUUUGAAAAUUGUAAAGACCUAAAGGUCAAUUAAUGACCCACUUGUUCAUAGAGAACAUGGGGAUAAGAACCCAGAUAGAGAAAUUAAAAGUACCUCGCACUUAAACAAAUAAAAUCAAUUCCAGCAUGAAGGUGAAUAGUAAACCCAACAAAAGAAGAAGAAGAAGACUUGAAAACCAUUGAGGUUCAACAGUCAACCACUUACACCAAAUAAGAAUCCACAUGCCACCAUGCCCAAAGGAUUUCUAGGACAAGGUUGCAAGAAGCUGAAUUGGUUGUGUUUGCAAUAGGAUCGUAUCAAAAUGGAGUCAUGCUACACACCUUGGAAUUCCUAAGCUAAUUAUUUGGGACUGGAUGUUUAGAUUCCUCAUAGAAAAUGUCAAAGUGUGAGCAUAUUUCAAACCAAACAUAUUCCAUUUACAAAUUUACAUUUGACGGAUAAAACAGCAAAUCAAGUUUGAAUUUCAGCAAAACAAGAAAUAUAGGAUGCAUUCAAAUGGCAUUAACAGGAAAUUGAAUGGACAAUACUGACCUUUUCCAUUGUCUCAUAUAUAGGACAAAUGAUUUGCUCAAGGAAGGAAACUGAACCAUCUGCAGUUAUACAACUGGCAGCAUGAUUAGCUUCACCAUGAUCCAAUAUUGCAUCUAACUCUCUUGCCAUCUGCACAACCAAUAAACAUUCCAAUUUUACUUAUGAUGUUUAUUUACUUUCUGGGUUGUCAGGAUUAAAUGUAAGAACAUGAAAUCAACUUUCUGAAACAGCAGAAAGAUUCAAACAAACAAUUGGGAAGAACUCUAAAACUUCUUUCUUAAAAAUCAAUCAAUAAACAACGAAGAUAAAGAAAGAGUGGAUCCUUGGAGAGUACAACUUACAGAUCAAAAGCUAGUGUAAAACAAAAGUUCUAAAUAUGGUAAAAAAAUAAAAAGCAUUUUAUUAGGAGACUGAACCAAGUCAACAGAUCCAACAGCAGAACAAAUAAAAAGCAUGAAAGGAGCUUACAUGGUGGAAUAUAUAGCAUAUGCAUUCAGGAAGGAAACGAACAUUUGCAGCUUCACCCCAUAUGAGAAAGUACAAUGAAACCAGAAAAAGUCUCCUGUCCCUAUUAAUUGCUUCUAUACUGAGGAACCAAAUUUAGAACCCAGAUCAGUGGCAUAUGAUGGAAAUGAAGUUUCGGAAUAGCAGAAAGCUUCAGAAUUCACCUAUUCCAUGCAAGACGUAUCCGCAAGUAUUUGCACCAUUUGAUGUAGUUAUCCAGCACCUUCAAGAAAACUUCAGUGACAGCUUUUUCAUCAAUUUUCUACACAGGUCAGACGUAAAAGUGUCAGUUCUACAAUGCCAGCACAAUGCAUGACCAAUUUCUAGCUGAAAACCAUAACCAACUAAAAUUUCUAGCUGAAAACUAUAACCAACUAAGGCAUUAGAAACCUCCAAUAAUUGUACAGAAUCCCAUGAAAUUUCAUGCGAAAGAUGCAUUAUGUUGCAUUAUGAAGUCAUAAAAAAUUGCAUUUUUUCAGGACAAAGCAAAAUCUUUUGAAAUAACUAAGUUGAAGUUGAAUAUAAUAUGAACAAAAUAAUAAUAAAUCAAAAUAACUUAAACAGGGUAAAUACAAAUUAUUUAACAAGAUCAUGUGCACCACUCACUGGAUUAGCUUCAACAGGUAUGCCAAGUCGACACUGUGCAUUUGCUACAGUAAGAACAACAUUUUCCCGUUGGUUUUGUAUGUUGUCUUUCUGCAAAUAAGACAUUUAAAGUAAUUAAAACAAAGAAAAAUGUAAAAAAAAAAAAAAAAUAGAACGAAUAGUUAAAAUCUAAUUAAAGGCCUUCAAAAAAAGAAAAAAAAAUGACAAAAUUUUAGUCAUGUGUAACUCUUAAAUAAAAAACUUGUAUCACUUACCCUCACUUUUAUUCAUUUAUCUGAAAAAAAAAAAAAGAUCUUGAAAUUUCAUGGUAAAAUAAUUGAUUUUUGUUUUGGUCAAAAAUCUCUUGCAGGAACUUUUUGGGUACAAGAAGAAUUACUGAUAUUAUUGAAAUUUUUAAUGAAAUUUCUCACUGAAAUAUUUUUAAAAUUCACUUUGGAAAUGUUUUCUUACUGAAUUUUUUUAAUUACUGCAAUUAUGAGAAUUUACAUUCAUAGUUUUUCUUGUUCAAAUAAUUUUGUUAUAACAUUUAAAAUUUGUUUCUCACAAUUUUAUUGUCCUUCUAGUUUUGUGGAAAAGAAUGGUUCUUAUUAUUUUAUUUUUAACAAAAUGAUACAGUAUUUUUUUUAUUAGAAACAAAAUACAUACUAAUUACGGAUAAAAAGUACAUGAAAAGUACUGAGGUCCUCCCCACAAUUUACAAAAAACUGAUCAAAGUAUGACUAAAAUCCUCCACUACACAAGGAGAUCUAUACAAAAAGGUUUAGUCAACAUGAGGAUGUAUUCAGGUGUCAUCUCCUCAAUCUCAAACUAAGCUCCUCUCAUUGUUGUCCAAUGUUUAUAGUUUACAAUCCUACAAAACUACGAAACUGAAGCACAUGAAAUUAGGAACAUGGCUAAUUCCUAUAAAUUCUCUAUCCUACAAAUCAGGAAAAUAAAAUAGGAAAGUAUAUAGUUGUAUAAUCUCAGAAAUUAUGGAAAUUAUACAAAUAUACAAUUUCAAAAAUCAAAGAAUUAAUUAUCAUGUAUUUCAUAUCAGACUGGUCAAUACUCCCCCUCAAGUUGUUGAAUAGAUACUAUCCAUUCCUAACUUUCCAGUUAUCUUUUGAAAUGAUUCACUAAAUAGACCCCAUGUUAGGAUAUCAGCAAGGUGUCCACAAAAAACAAAUAAACAAUUAAGGUUGUGACUUCACCAGUUGUUCAUUGUUUGAUAAAAAGAGUAUAAUACUCUCAACUCUAUCGAAACUUCCAAUUUCUCAUAGCUUUAGCAAAUCUUCCAAACCAUGUCUAGGAGAAUGUUUUAAACCAUAAAAUGUCUUUUGUAGUCUACAUACUUUAUUAGCCUUGAAUCCAUCACUGAACCUUGGAGGUGCUUCCAUGCAAACCUCUUCUUUUAGGUCACCGUGCAAGAAGGCGUUCUUAACAUCAAGCAAAGACCAGCCAAGAUUAGCUACUAAGGACAAUAAUAUUCAGAUGGUAUUCAUAUUUGCCACAAAAGUAAUGGUUUCCUAACAAUCCACUCGAUAUGUUUGAAUGCAGCCUUUAGCUAUAGGCCUUGUUUUGCAUCUCUCUAAGGUUCCAUCUGCCUUAUACUUAAAACAACGCUAGUUUCUUCCCUUUGGAUAAUUAAACAAUCACACAUAUCUUCUUUUUUCAAAAGCACUCAUAUUCUCAACCAUAGAUUUCCUCCAACUUUAGUUCCGACGUGCCUCUCGCACAAUUGAUGGAAUUUCAUUAAGAUUUAACUGGGUGAUGAAGGCCUGGUGUUGUGUGGGCCUGGCAGGAGUAAUCCCAUUAGGCAAGCAAACUUGGGAUUGGGCCAUCAAUCUGUAAGGGUGUAGGCAGGCCAGGAGUGUAGGCGGGCCAAGCCCAAUUUAAUUCUAAAGCCCUCCUCCUUAGUGAAAUGUCACGCCUCAAGAAGGAGAUUGAAGCCUCCAUGGAUGACGCGUUCAAGGUCUCACCCCUAGUGGUUCACCCCACAAGCACCAACUAAAGCCCCCAUAGAGGAAGUGGCAAGAUUCCUUGGUUCUUCGUCACCCUCUGUUUCUUCUUUCGGAAAUCAAACAGCCUCUUCUUUUUCUGGGUAGGGUCUCAAUUUGAAGGGUUAAGAGGUGAGCACUUAAGUUGCUCCCUUGGGAGAGGGUAGUAACCCAUUAAGUAUAGUUCCAGUGGAUGACACCCGGGUGGAGUUUGAAGAGGUUGAGGUGAGGCCAAAAAAUGCUGCAAUGUAUGUGUGUGACAGAUAGGAAAGAGGGGGCAAAUCUUGUUUGGAUCCCAGGGAGGAGGUGCUUCUACAAGAUUGGUCCCCAAGCAACUUGGAAGUUCUGCAACUGGUUGGGCAUGCCAACAGUAGGGUUUGAGGCUAGGAUUUUAGCUCUCCUCACUAAAAUGAAGGCUACAAACGAGGUGAGGGGCCAGGAGGGUGGGAAGAGGAGGAAGAAUACUACUUCAAAAUUUAAGAAGGAACUAAAGAAGGUAGAAUGUUUUAUGAAUUAUAAAAGGACAGAAGGUAAACAACCAGGAAGUUAGGACAUUCUUGUAGUUGAUAGAUGAUGCCAAAUUUCGUCUCUUAUAAUGUUAAAGGGGCAAGGAAGAUUAUCUAGAGUUUGUUUAGAUCGUAGAAAGUAGACUAUGCAUCCCUGCAAGAAGAUAAACUGUGGGCAUCUUGCAUUUUUUGGUCUUUAGGGCAUUAGUUUUGUUUCGAAUGGUGGUUUGUUGUUGUUCUUUUCCCUUUUGCUUGCCUAUUGGCAUUAUUUGUAUACUUUGUAUGUGCUUUAUGAACCUCUUCCAAACAAUUUUAAUUUAUUUUCUUAUUUAGCAAUAAAAAAAAAGGAUAAUCUAUCAAAAAAUAUAAAAUUGGGCAUAGGAUGCUCUUUGCAUUUUCUAAAUUCUUUCAUGAGAGCUAUUGGCAAAUUUAGGUCUUCAAAAUACUGGUGACAAAGGAGACUGACUAGGGUCAGAUUCAGUGCCAGUCACGGGUUUGAAUUCUUGGUUUUGCAUGGACACAAGAUUUAGCAGUUUUCUUCUUGAAUAUACUCAUAGUGGCACCACAGUUAAGUUACCAUUUUUCUCAUCCUUAUUCUCAAAUAUAGAAGUGCCAACCACCAUAGGAGUAGAUUUAAUGACUGUUGAAGAAGCAGUAUCUGGAAUGGAUGUAAGGGAUGGAUUUGGCAGAUCAAGCAAGCUCAAGAUGAGGAUCAAUGAAAAAGAGAGGGUUUUCAGCAGUAGAGACAUCCAUAGAAAUGAAACUUUUCUUGGAAUAGGGUGAUAACAUUUGUACCCCUUCUUUGUUGAAGAAUAACCAAUGAAGACACAUUUAAGCAUUUGAAAAUCAACGUUUGAAAAUCAUAUUUACCACAAUUUUAAGCAUGAAUAUGGAUAAAGGAGACACAUGCAAACUUUAGUUGGGAUCUUUCUAUGCCCACACAAAUCAACCAAGAAUUCAGAGAAAACAUUUACUAAGACCUUGUUUCCUAGCACUUUCGAAUGUAAUCAAUUGAUUAGGCAGUAUAGGCACACUUUUCUCUAAUAACAAGGCACAAAUUACCUUAAGAAGGUGACGGUUUUUUGUUUCUACAACUCCAUUUUGUUGUAGAGUAUUCGUACAUGAUGGCUUGUGUUUAUUCCUUCCUUCUUUAGGUAAGAGGAUAGGGUAUGGUUAAAAUAUUCUUUCCCAUUGUCAAAUCCAAUAGUCUUUCUCUAAUCAUCUUGUGAAAAACACAGAAAAUAGAACUAACAUCAUAUUGGUUUUUCAAAAGGUAUAACCAAGUAACACAAGAACAAUCAUCAAUGAAUGAAACAAACUAAUGAGCUUCAGUAAAAUUUGAAAUUUGAAAGACUCCCUAAACAUCAAUAUAAAUUAAUGUAAAGGGGUAGAUGAUCUAUUAUUGCUCAAAGGAAAAGGAGCUCAAUGACAUUCAAGGUUAAGAUAAACUUGACAAUGAAAGUCAUUAACAUCCGAUUAACAAAGUAAACAUAGUCUUCAACAAAGGAAAAGAUGGAUAUCAUAAACAUAUAGGAUGUAGUCAAAUUUUGACUUUAUUGGAUGAAAAUUUUGAAACAUGAAAUAGAGGUAUGCAGCCAUUUGUCACUUCCAACAUCAAGAUUGCAGAACCUCUCUUAUUCCUAAGCAUGAUCAAUCAUCCUCCUCAUAUUAAAGUCCAAGAAACAUAGUGGGAUGGAAAAAAGGAUACUUCACAGUUUAGAUCCUUGAUAACUUCAUGAAUUAAUGGGAGAUUUACUAAGAAUCUAGAAACAUAAUUUACAGAUAUUAGGGACACAGAGACAAGGUAAGGGUAAUAGUCCACUGUCCAACCACACUAGCUAAACUACAAUUAGCUACUUUGAUUUUUUGGUUUCCAGAAUUUAUGCUAUAGGUAGACAUGUCAAAGGGGUUGAGCUGAACAAUGUAGCCCACUGCCCGGUACACCAAAAGACUUGAUCGUGUCAGCCCAACCAUAUUACUAUAGCAGUUCAUGUUAGGCCUAAGGGGAUGUCCCAUCAUGUCGGCAUGCUUGGUCUGCCCAAAUGCUACUUUUUCUUUAUCAGAAAUGAAAUAUAUAUUAUAUUAAUAAUACUAAAGGUACAAGAGAAGGAUGAGAGGUCCUUCCCUCAAAAUACAAAAUCUGAUCAAAUUAAGAAGACACCACUCUAUACAAAACUAUACACAAAGAUAACCCCCAACUAUCUCAAACUUUUGAAUCACAAACCGCAAGCCAAUUGAGUUGUAUAACACUGAGAGGAACUCCUCUAAAAGCAAUAGUACAAAAGGCCCAUAAAGAGGAAUAGAAGUGAAAUAAAUCCCAUAACAUCCCUUCCAAUCUCCCCUUAUCCUAAAAAACCCUAACCUUUCUCUCUUGCCACAUAAUCCAUAAUAAGGUGAGGCAAGCAAUUUGCCAAAGUGUCUUGUCUCUAAUUGAAUUCUCUAAACCUCUAAAAGCAAUAAUCAUCAUGUCUCCAAUACUCCUCAGUGGAACCUAAUCCAACCUUGCUAGAUUGAAGAGAUUGUGCCAGAGCCCAAUAGUUAAUGGGCAAUGUAGAAAAAGGUGGUCAAUCGAUUCUCUAUUUCCUUUGCAUAAAAUGCACCACUAAGGACAAAGGGAUUCAUAGGGUCUUCUCAACUAUAAUAUGCCAUUAGUGUUUACCAUCCUAUGUGCUACUAACCAAGCAAGGGCCUUAACCUUUGAAGGGACUUUUGAUUUCCACAAAAACUUGACCAGAAGGAACAAGACAGGAUUUGAGAAAUUGGACACGGCCAACAAAAAAGAUUUAACAAUAAAUAAGCCUGAGGAGGACAAAGACCAAGCUUUUGAAUCAACCGCGGAAGGAGAUAAAUGCACUAAACUAAGGGAGGACAUGAGUCUCUAAAGGAGUUCAAUUUCUAUAUCAAUGAUAUUCCGGCAAAAGUUAAAAUUCCAAGAGAGUGAAUAGGAAUUGUCAAGGGCAACUGAGAUGGUGAGGUUUUUCACAGAAAUAACUCUAUAAAGACCAAGGAAUUGUGAGCACAAAGGUUGGUCAACCCACCAAAGAUCUUCCUAAAAACGAAUUCUCUCCCCACUCCCUACCACAAGACAGAUAUAUGGGGAGAAAUCCUAAAAAAUUUGUGCAAUAGCCUUCCAAGGAUAUUUGUGUGACCAUCUAACCACCAUAUUAGCGUCCCAUCCAUUAGGAUGUCUCCUAUAGAUACUCGCAAUAACCUUAUGCCAAAGACCACUCCUUUCCCUAGGGAACCUCCAAAGCUACUUCCCUAACAAAGCACAAUUUCUUAAGGAAGUCUUCCCAAAUCCCAAACCUCCUAACUCCUAUGGCCUACAAACAACAUCCCACCUAAUAAGAUGAUCUUUCUUCCCUUUCCUCACCCCUGACCAUAGGAAAUCUCUUUGCAUUUUUUUAAUCUUUGAGGCUAUUGAUACAAGGAUCUUGAAGAGGGAGAGGAAAUAGUUAGGGACGUGAGAAAGAAUCGACUGAAUUAAGGUAAUCCUCCCUCCUCCCUAGUGGCGAAAAGGCUUUUUUCCACCCAUCCAACCUCCUCAAAAUUCUCUCAACCACUGAAUUCCAAAAACCUAUUGUUUUUAGGUUUCCUCCUAAGGUAAGACCCAGAUAAGACAAAGGUCACUCUAACACACUGCAAUCAAGGAUUGAAGCCAAACUAGACAACCCCUGGCUUAUAUUAAUACCAGAUAGGAUGUUUUAUUCUAAAUUGAUUUUCAAUCCUGAUACUUACCCAAAAACCAAUAGGAUUAGCUUUAGGUUUUGCAGAUGUUCCGAAGAGGCUUUAGAGAAGAAAAUGGUGUCAUCUGCAAAUUGUAGUAAAGACGCACUAAUCUUACCCCUACUCACAAUGAAGCCCUCAAUUAACCCACUUUCCUCCGCUCUAAUCAUCAUCUUGCUUAGAACAUUUGCUAUGAAGGUAAAAAGAAAAGAAGAAAUGGGGUCUCUUUGUCUCAAACCUCUAGUGGCCUUAACCCAACCUUUUGCAUUUUCGUUAACAAGGAUUGCAAAACUUGUUGAAGACAAGCAUCCCCUCAUCUAAAAUCUCCAUUUUGGGUUGAAACUCUUCCUUUCUAACACAUGGUCCAAAAAACCCCAAUCCACAUGAUCAUAAGCCUUCACAAAAUCAAUUUUAAAGCCCACCCUUUCCUCCCCCAACCUCCUUUUCUCAUCCACCACUUCAUUGGCCAUCAACACAACAUCCAAAAUUUGUCUCCCUUCAACAAAGGCUCCUUAAGAGUUAAAGAUUGUUCUAUGGAGGACUUUGCAUGAUAGCCCUAAUAAGACCUUAGCAAUUAUCUUAUAUAAGCUUAUAACCAAGCUAAUAAGUUUGAAGUCAGAUAUUUUAAAGGUUUGAUUCUUCUUAGGCACCAAGGCAAUGAAAGUAGCAUUAGUACUUUGAUUUAUUAUCCCAUUAAUGUGGAACUCUAGAAACACCCUCAUAAGGUCCUCUUUGAUCACAUCCCAACACUCUUGACAUACUACAAUAGUGAACCCAUCUGGGUCAGGGGCAUUUUCCUUAUUCAAUUGGAAAACUGCAAGGUGUACCCCUUCUUAAGAAAAAGGUCAAUCUAGCCAAGCCGCUCUCUCCAGAAAUAGGAAACCAAUCUAAACCUUCAACCCUCCAAGAAACACCUACAGAUUUGGAGUAGAACUUCCCAAAGAAAUUUACUAUAUCCUCUUAAAUAAUUACAAUGUUGCUUCGAGUCACACCCUCCUCAGAAACCAAUGACUUAACGAACUUCUUGUUUCUCCUUCCAUUGGUCACUCUAUGAAAGAACUUAGAAUUGUAACCCCCCUUUAACCACUUGACCCUUAAUUUUUGCCUCCAAAGGAACAUCUUGCAUGUUCGACCAAGUAAAAGUCGCAUUUCUAAGAAGGGGAUCAAUCAAGCCACUCUCUUAUAAACUCAUCAAAACACCUCAUGUUCACAAUUAACCUAGAAGCAACCAAUUUCUUGGAGAUCCUCCUUAUUACAUUAAAGUCCCCUCCUACGCACCACUUUGGGAAAGUUAGACCAAAUAGGUCUUGUAGCUCCAUCCAAAAAUCUUUCCUCCAAAUAGGUCUAUUUGGACCAUAAACUGAAGUUAACCAGAAGGAACCAUCUUCAUCAGAAUUCAACUUUACAGUUACCAAAAAAGGCCCUAACACCUUCUUUAUACACCUAAACUUAUUUGAAUCCCAUAGGAUCACAAUGCCCCCUGAAGCCCCACAAGCAAGAAGAUCAACCCACUCUUUGUUUCUUCCUUUCCAGACACUACCCACAAAUCUCCUAUCCUAGGUUUCUCUCUUUAUUUCCUAAAUCAUCACAAUAUCUAGAUCUUGAGAACUUAAAAAGCUUUUGACAAUCCUUCCUUUCUUCUUGGAACCCAACCCUCUUGUAUCCCAACUUACGAUCUUCAUGUAAACAGAAAAGAGCCCAGCAAAAACCAAAACCACAACCAACCUAAGCCUCCCCCUUGAUUCCACAAGCAGUCUUUCUUCCAAUGCCAAACCUUUCUCACUUUCUUUAACAAUUCUACACCUCAAACUCUCCAACACCGAUUAAACCUUAACCAUCUUCCUGGGCGUGAGGCCCUCAACUUGAAAACCAACCAAAGGGAGAGUGGGAGGUUCUGGAUCUAGGGACGAACCUCUACCUAAGACGUAGUGCUCCUCUGGGCUACUAAGUGGUGCCCUAUGGAAAUAAUAGUUUUUAUUAAAGAUUUCUCUAGGGGGCUCCACACCUUUCGAAAUAGGCACACCAACAAAAUGGCUACACUCAACACCAGGAAAUUUCAAAUUAAGGACAUCUUUAGCAGCAAGGCUUCACUCCAUUGGGUUCAAAGAAAGGGGAUGACACCAACCAAAGUGAACAGCAAAAACAUAAGAGAAGGGAAGAGAGUUUAGAUCAAAAGCCCCUGCCAAAGGUUGGCCCUUCACUAAGGUUUUUGAGCUAGGAAGACACACCUGAUAUGGCAAACCGCAAUGCGAGAGCCUUUCGCCUCCCUCUGUCUCCAUGGUGAAUGCUUGGGAAAUUUCUGAAAUAGGAAAUCGAAUGCCUUGAUUGAAGACCAAAUUGCCUCAACCCUUUACUAAACUUGCUUCAGCUGAAACACCCACAUCAAAUUUGCCCUUCAACAUAAAAGACAACACCUUAAUGGACGGAGACCAACUUUGUGCUUUACACCCCACGACAACUGAUGAAGCUUUUCUCUUAGACAACUCUUGUGAACGUGCAAUCGAAAGAACAUCCUUUGAAGAAGACUCUGAAAGCUGAAAAUUUAGGGAUGAAGGCACUAAUGGACCACCCUCGAAAGACCUAGCUUUACCCCCUUCUACCUUGAGGGCUUUUUAAACAACUGGAAUAGCAAGAAGCCCAAAACCUGCUUCUUCACGUGGGCUCACUCCAAACUUGGCCAUAACUAAAGACUAGGCCUUCAUAUUAAUAACAAUAAGCUUAGUGGGCCUAUGUGGGCUUCUCGUCUUUAGGCCCUUCCAAUUCCCUCUCCUUUAGAAGACCUAGCUUUACCCCCUUCUAUCUUGUGGGCUUUUUUAACAACUAGAAUAGUAGGAAGCCCAAAACCAACUUCUUCACGUGGGCUCGCUCCAAACUGGGCCAUAAUUGAAGACUAGGCCAUCAAAUUAAUGGCAACAGGAUUAUUGGGCCUAGGUGGGCUUCCUGUCUUUAGGCCCCUUUGAUUCCCCCUCAAGCCUUUCUUCCUUUUUGAUUCUCCAGCCAAAAUCGAAUUUGAAAAUGGAGAAAGACAGCAAAAAAGUGGCAUACAGUUGUAUCCCUCAUUCUCUCUUAUGACACCACGUGUCCCCACUACAUGUUUAAGUCUUGGUGAAAGCCACCUCUCGUUGAGUCGAACUCGCCUUUACUACAAGUUAACUCAGUCCUCAAGUGGCGGACUUCUUCAUCUUCUUUGAUGAUUGUAACUACAACCGUGAAAGUCCAGGCUCCAUCUUCCACCUCUAGCAACAUAGGCAACAAGACAUUUGGGUGCAACUCAAGCUUCAAAGAGUCCCACGCCACCUUCAUUACCUUCCCUCAAUUCAUCAUAAUGUAGCAUAAUUGAUUCUCAUUCCAUAGAGGAAAAGGAAGACCCCUUAAUUCUAUCCAGCCCCUUCUGAAUUUUCAAAGUACUACAGUAUUUUCUCUUGGCAACCACCUCCUCAGAAAAGCAGAACCUCCUUUCACUAUCAUCCUCCCUUGCUCCUAGAGCCAUUCGGCUCUCUCAAUGGAAUCCAUAAAGAAACACCCCUUGUAAGCCAAAACAAGGGUUCCAAAACCAUUCCCUUCAAACCCAUCAUCCGCGCAAUAGCCUUUCCAACAUAAACCCAAGAUUGAACUCUUUCUUGACUUUCACAUAAUACUGCUCCAGCCUCCUUUCCUUGGUCCCUCCUCUGCAACAACAUCCGCAUAGGACCGACAUAGAGCUAUCUAACGGGUUAAGCUACCCAUUUUGGCUCAUGACUUGGCAUGCCUAAAGGUCGGGUCACGCCAUCACGGCCCAAUUACUGUAGCGGAAAGGGCCGGCAUAGCCCAAAGGAGCGAGUUGUGUUGGGCCCGACGUGCCAUCAUACCAACCCACUUAGCCCUUUCAAAUAUUACUUUUUACUUUUUGUUUUUUAUUACAUGUCAAAUGUCUAUAAUAGCCCUCUCAACUAUAUAAUGACUAGUUUGACGGGUAAAAAAGUAAAUCAAUAGUUAUUUUUACUUUUUUUUCAUGUCAAAUGUCUAUAUUACCCCUCCCAACAACUAUAUAAUGGUUAAUUUAAAGGAUAAAUAGGAGACAAGAGGACAACUCUUGCAGCAGAGGUGCAAGAAGUCUUGACAUGUUUGAAGGAUUGGGAAAAUGAACGCAUGGGACUUCAAACUUUAAAAGAUGAACUUAAAGAAGACCUCGAGAAAUUGGAUCUCAAUACACACAAUGAUGUUCAAGAAAUUGAUGACAAUUGAAGAUGAAGAAUGAAAAUUGAAUAAGAAGACAAAAGUGAAUAUGAUAAUUGAAGAAUUAUAUGUUGUUCGUUUCUUUUAAAUCUAUUAAAUGUAGCUAAUUUUUAAAGGUUGAGUAAUGCAUAUGAUUGAUAGUUGGGUGGGUGUCAACCUAGUUGGGAUGUACUCAAGCUAUAGUGAUGCAAUUCUCAUCUUUUUUUUCUCCCUAUUUUUCCAUGUAAUUUGUUGAAAUUUUGAAUAAAAGAAUUAUUUUUUUAUAUUUCAUUUUCUUUUACAUUCCAUUAUUUUAAAUGUGUUGUUAUCUUGAUAAAUUCAAAAAAAAAUCAAAUAUAACUUUUUUACCAUUUUUAAAAACAAAAAAUUAGCAUAUCUAUAAAUUUUACAAUUACAAACUCGAUAAAUAUAUAUAUAAAAAAUAAAAAGUAUAAUUAUUAGAGGUGUUUAAAGUAACAAAAAUAAAUUUCAUCUAAUAAUGAAAAAAAUUUAAGACAAAAUGACUUAAAAAAUUAAAUUAAAAAUUUUAACAAAGUGAGUGGCCCAUAGGCCACGACCCACCAACACGGCAAAAUUGGUCCGCAGUCUUAUGGGUCGUGCCAAGACACCUAUUUGGUUUGCAUGGAUCGGCCCAGCCCAGCACGAUUUUUAAUUGGGUCAUGCCGGCCCUACACAAACCAUUGGACAGCUCUGGACCGACGUCCUCUGUAAAUGCCUGGCACGGCCCAUUGGACAGCUCUAGACCGAGAUCCUCUAUAAAUGCCCUUACCCAUCUGUAAAUCUCCAUUCGCCUCCUUCGAGACUCUUCCAAAAUGAGGGGUAUAUUCUUGCACUGAGGAAAUCACCUUCCUUACGACUUCCCAUCGUCUGCUUUUAACAACCUUAGGAACAACCAGAUUUGAGGGUUUCCUAUUUAUGACAAAUUUUGUAGUUUUCAUGAAACUCCCUCUACUGUUGAAGCAAAUCUCCAGCAAAUAAGUCCUUGUCUUGCCUUUAAACUUUCAAAUAAAACCCAAGGAAACCUCCAUCUCCACAGCCUUCUUCAACUGCACUGACAACCACACCAUCUCCUUUCCAAAACCCACUAAAAAGACAUAACCUUGGCUCCUCUCUAUUACCAAAAUCCAAGUUCCCCCAUGGGAACCUUCAAACUUAACCUCAAAGUCCUUCUCUGCUUCAAAACUCUUUGCCUAUCUCUUCCCAAAUGCUACUUUUUGCAUGCCAAAUGUCAUAAACGUUCCUCCCAACAACCAUGUAAUGACUAGUUUCUGGGGGUAAACAAUUAAAACACUCAUUAUUAUUAUUUUAUGUCAAAUGUCUAAAUUACCCCUCAUAGCAAUUAUAUAGUAGUUAGUUUGAGGGGUAAAGAAGUAAGUCACUCACUAUUAUUAUUGUUUUCAUGCCAAAUGUUUUAAAUUAACCCUCUUAACAACUAUAUAAUAGUUAAUUAAAGGAAUAAAUAAUAAAAUUAUAUAGGUACAAAUAUUAUUCGAAAAACUACAUAGGCUCAGAUAUAAUUGGAGAAACAAGGACUAAACUCACACCAGAGAUGGUUAACUAUUUGGCUUGUGGGAAGGAUUGGGAAGAUGGAUGCAUGAGGCUCCAAGCUUAGGAAGAUGAAAAAAUUUGAACAUCAAAUGAGACAAAGACAUCCAAGAGAUCAAUGAAGAUGAAGAACAAAGAUUGAAUAUCAAGACAAAAGUGAGGAUGAAAAUUGAAGAAUUUUAUGUUGUUCAUUUCUUCCAAAUCUAUCAAAUGUGACUCAUUUUAAAGUUUGAGUCAUGCAUAUGCUUGAUGGUUAGGUGGGUGUCAAACUAGUUGGGAUGUGCUAAAAUUCUCACCUUUUUUUCCCUUUUUUUCAUGUAUACUUUACAAUUUGUUGAUAUACUGAAUAAAAGGAUUAUAUUUUUUACAAUCCCUUUUCUUUUAUAUUCCAACAUUUUAAAUUUUUUUUUUUUUUUUUUAUCAGAAACGAAGAAGAUUAUAUUAAUAAAAGAACAAAUACAGGAGAGAAAAAAGAGACAAAAGAAAGAGAAAAAAACCAAAGGAAGGAUGAAAGGUCCUUCCUACACAAAAACCAAGGAAAAACACCCAACAAUAGAACUCUAAAAACAAAAGAAACUCCAGCAAUCUUCAAACUCUUGAAACGCAAACCCCAAUCCAAUUGAGUUGUAGAAUGCUUAGAGGAACUCCUCUAAAAGCUUCAGUACAAGAAGCCCAUAGAGAAGAAUAAAACCGGAUCAAAUCCCAAACCAUCUCUUCCGUUCUCCCUUUAUCCUCAAAGAUUCUAUUAUUCCUUUCUUGCCACACCAUCGAAAUCAAAGUAAAGCAAGCAAUUUGCCAAAGUGUCUUGCCUCUUAAUGAGUUCCCCAAGCCUUUAAAAGAAAUAACCAACAUGUCCUCAAUGCUCCUUGGAGGGACCCAAAUCACACCUACUAGAUUGAACAACCUGUGCCAAAGUCCAAUGGUAACGGGACAAUGAAGAAAAAAGUGGUCAAUCGACUCUCCAUUUCCUUUGCAAAGAAUGCACCAUUGAGGACAGAGGGCUUUGUAGGGUCUUCUCAAUUGCAACUUGUCAUUAGUGUUUACCUUCCCAUGUGCUACUAACCAAGCGAGGGCCUUAACCUUUGAAGGGACUUUUGAGCUCCAUAAAAACUUGGCCGGAAGGAACAUUAAAGGAUUUGAAUCUUUUGACAAGGCAUAGAAAAAAGAUUUCACUGAAAACAAGUCUGACGAAGACAAAGACCACGCUCUUGAGUCUGAAGAAGAAGGGGAAAGAAGCACAGAAUGAAGGGAGGACAUUAAUCUCUGAAGGAGAUCAAUUUCUGAAUCCGUUAGAUUGCGGCGAAAGUUAAAAUUCCAAGACAAUGUUAAGGAAUUGCCAAGGACAUUUGAGACAGUAAGGUUUUUCACAGAAAUAACUCUGUAGAGAUCAGCAAAUUGAGAACACAAAGUUUGGUUUCCCCACCAAAGAUCUUCCCAAAACCGAAUUCUCUCCCCAUUGCCCACCACUAGGCAGACAAAAAGGGAGAACUCUUGGAAAACUUGAGCAAUAGCCUUCCAAGGACACCUGUGAGACCAUCUAACCACCAUGUUGGCGUCCCAUCCAUUAGGAUGUGUCCCAUAUAUACUCGCAAUAACCUUAUGCCAAAGACCGCUCCUUUCUCUAGGGAAUCUCCAAAGCCAUUUCCCUAAGAGGGCACUAUUUCUCAUAGAAGUCUUCCCAAAGCCCAAACCUCCCAUCUCCCUUGGUCUACUAACAACCUCCCAUCUGAUUAGGUGAUCUCUCUUCCCUUCCCCGGCCCCAAACCAAAGAAAAUCCCUUUGCAUCUUCUCAAUCUUUGAAGCUAUAGAUACAGGGAUUUUGAAGAGGGAGAGGAAGUAGCUAGGGAUGUGAGACAGACAAGACUGAAUUAAAGUGAUCCUCCCUCCCAAAGACAACUAGGCCUUUUUCCACCCAUCCAGCCUCCUCGAAAUUCUCUCAACCACUGGAUCCCAAAAUCCUAUUGUCUUUGGAUUUCCUCCCAAAGGAAGGCCUAAAUAAGACAAAGGCCACUCUGACACUCUGCACUCCAAAACCAAAGCCAAACUAGACAACAUUUCCUGCCUAGUGUUAAUACCUGAAAUGGUGUUUUUUUCUAAGUUGAUUUUUAAACCAGAUACUUGCCAAAAACAAAAAGGAUAAUCUUAAGGUUUUGAAGAAGAUCCAAAGAGGCUUUAGAGAAAAAUAUGGUAUCAUCAGCAAACUGUAACAAGGACACUCUAGUCCUAUCCCUCCCCACAAGGAAACCCUCAGUUAUCCCAGUUUCCUCAGCUCUAAUCAUCAACCUACUUAGAACAUCUGCUACUAGAGUAAAAAGGAAAGGAGAAAGAGGAUCUCCCUAUCUCAAACCUCUAGAGGCCUUAACCCAACCCUUUGCAUUCCCAUUAACUAGGAUAGCAAAACUAGAAGAAGAUAAACAGCCCCUCAUCCAAGAUCUCCAUUUCUGGCUGAACCCCUUCCUUUGAAGCACAUGAUCUAAAAAGCCCCAAUCCACAUGAUCAUAGGCCUUCUCAAAAUCAAUUUUGAAAACUACCCCUUCCUCUCCUGACCUUCUUUUCUCAUCCACCACUUCAUUGGCUAUCAAUACAGCAUCCAAUAUUUGUCUCCCUUCCACAAAGGCUCCUUGAGAGCCAAAGAUUGUUUCAUGUAGAACUUUGCGUAAACGCCCUGAUAAGACCUUAGCAAUUAUCUUAUAUAAACUUGUAACCAAACUAAUAGGUCUAUAAUCUGAGAUUUUAAAAGUUUGGCUUUUCUUAGGCACCAUAGCAAUGAAUGUCGCAUUUGUACUUUGAUUUAUUACCCCUUUAGUGUGGAACUCAAAAAACACCCUCAUAAGAUCCUCUUUUAUCACAUCCCAACACUCUUGAUAAACUGCUAUAGUAAAGCCAUCAGGGUCAGGGGCCUUUUCCUUAUUCAAUUGGAAAACUGCCAUUCGAACCUCCUCUUCCGAAAACGGUCUAUCCAACCAAAUUGCACUCUCUUCAGAAAUAAGGGCCCAAUCAAUCUCUUCAAUCUUCCAAGAAUCACCUUCGGGUUUGGAAUAGAGAUUCCCAAAGAAAUUUACAAUCUCCUCAAAAAUAACAUCAAUGUUAUUUAAAGUCUCCCCCCUCUCAGAAAUCAGAGACUUUAUGAACUUCCUGCUUCUUCUUCCAGUGGCCACUCUGUGAAAAAACUUAGAGUUGCAAUCCCCUUCUUUAAUCCACUUAACCCUAGAUUUUUGUCUCCCUUGUACCUCUUCCUUCAAUAACAAAUCCUCUAACUCCUUCCUUCUUAAGGUCCUUUCCGAAACCAGAUCAAGAUUUAAAUUCCAUUCUUGUUCAAUUCGAUCAAUUCUGCCUAAAUCCAUAAGAAUAUGCUUUUUCCUCUCUCUUAAAUCUCCAAAGACCCUUGUAUUCCACUCUUUCAACUUUGAUUUAAUAAACUUUAGUUUCCUCAUAAACUUGUGACCUUCCCAACCUUCAACCGUACACUCUUGCCACCAAUCUCUAAACUUCUCUUUAAACUUAGGAUGGAGCAACCACAUAUUCUCAAACCUAAAAGGAGUCGGCCCCCAUAUAAAAGGAUUAGUUUCCAAACAAAUUGGGCUAUGGUCAGAGGUCCAUCUAGGAAGAGCCUCUUGAAUAUUUUGAGAGAAAAAAGAAUCCCACUCAGAAGAGAACAAAAACCUAUCUAACCUCUUGCAAAUAGGAUUGACUUGCAUGUUUGACCAUGUAAAAGCCGCAUUCCUAAGAGGGGGAUCCAACAAACCACUUUCCCUUAUAAACUCGUCAAAACACCUCAUGUUGACUGUUAACCUAGAGUCACCCAUCUUCUCAGAUAUCCUCCUGAUCACAUUAAAAUCCCCUCCUACACACCACCUUGGGAAAGUCAGACCAUGUAGGUCUUGAAGCUCCAUCCAAAAGUCCUUCCUCCACACCGCCUUAUUCGGGCCAUACACUGAGGUUAACCAAAAAAACCCUUCCUCAUCAGAGUUCAAUUUUACAGUAACAGAGAAUGAUCCUAACACCUUCUCUGAACAAUUGAACUUAACUGAAUCCCACAGGAUCACAAUCCCCCCCGACGCCCCACAAGCAGGAAGAGCAACCCAAUCCAGACUUUUACCUUUCCAAACACUACUCACUGACCUCCUAUCCCAAAUUUCACGCUUUGUUUCCUGAAGCAUCACCACAUCUGGGUUUUGAGUACUUAAAACCUUCUCACAGUCCUCCUUUUCUUCCUAGAUCCUAAACCUCUUGUAUUCCAACUUAAAAUCUUCAUGAGAACAAAAACAACCCGACGCAACCCGCACCCAGAACUAAUCCUCUCCUCGAGUUCUAGAAUCAUUUUUCUUCUUUCUUCUGGAAUAAACCUUGUCCGCAGAGAGAGCACUCCUGUUCUCUCCUUCCACACCUUUCCCAUUAUCCCUGACAAUUCUAACCCUCAAACUCUCCAGAGCCGACUGAACCUUGACCAUCUUCCGAGGCGUAAGCCCCUCAACCUAAAAACCUUCCAACGGGAGAGUGGAAGGUUCUUGCACUGGGAACGAAGCCUCACCUAAGACACUACGCACCUCAAGGUUGCUGAGAGUUUCCCUAAGGAGAGGUCGGUCUUUAAAUUUUUGGUUAGAGGUUUCUAGGGGAACCACCACACCUUCCGAACAGGACGCACCACCACGAAGGUUGUCAUUCACCAUAGGAGAGAUAAAAACAGACCCACUCUGAAAAGCGUAGCUUGAAUCCAACGGAAACGAAGAAGAAGAGUGACAGCGAAAAGGAUGAACCAAAGAAACAGAGGUUUCGGGAAUAAGAUUUGGCUCAAAAGCCCCAGACAGAGGAAGAACUCGCUCAGAUACAGCUGAGAAAGGAGUAUGCACCUCAUUGAUCAAUUUGCAUUGCAGAAUCCCCUCUUCUCCCUCUGUCUCGCCGGUAGAAACUUUGGAUGUUUCCAAACCAGUGGAGAGAUCGCUCUUUCUGGAGUGAGAUUUGCCCCGAGAAGUCUCGAUUUGUCUCCAGUGAGCCACCUCCUUCAAAGCUUUGCUUCGGGGAAGAAGACGCCUCCUCAAAACUCGGCGGCCCACUUCUUGCUCUGCGCCUUACGGAGACUGGAGAUCCCUUCGGCUUUGACGACACUUGAAGAAGACCUUCCGACAUUUUAUUCUUUGCAGUGAGCCCUGGUCUUUGGAGCUUUGAAGACGAAGAUACAGCUGGGCCGCCAUUAGAGGAUCCUUUAUGGGCUGGACCCGCUAUUGGCCCAAAAUCCUUCGCCCCAAAUUGGGCCCAAUCAGAACGGGCUUCAAAGACGUCUGAUGUUGGCCCGAAAUUGCUUCCCGCCGUUGGGCCCAACACCCACCUUCCCUUUCCUUUCUCCCCUUUAGCCGAUUUUGAAUCUGAAGAACUAAAAUGGAAACGAUGACGAGGCAUCCAGCUAUGGCAGUCAAUGGUCCUGUCAAUAGCUCGUAGCCCCUCAACGAUCUGUGGCUUCUGCAAGACGCAACCCCCGGCUGACCUCAGCUCGUCCUUGCUGCGAUUCGACUGAGGCCUGAUAGAGUCUCCUCCGUCAUCUUCUCCGGUGACUGUAACUGCAACCAUGUAUGUCCACUCUCCAUCUUCUACCUCUAAUAGCGCUGGAAGCACGACAUUUGGAAGCAUCUCCACCCGCAAUGUUACUUUCGACAAAUCAACAAACUUCAAGGAUUUUCUCGCCACCUUCGUUACCCUCCCCCACUGCUGCAAAAUGUGUCUCAACUGCACCUCAUCCCACAGGUGGAAAGGGAGACCUCUUAGUUCCAGCCACCCCCGUCUAAAUUUUCCAUUAACGACUGAGUUUUCUUUUGGCGACCAUCUCCUCAGAGCAAAAACCUCUCCUCUCACUAUGAAACUACCUCGUUCUUGAAUCCACUGAGCUUUCCUUGCAGUUUCCACAAAAAAACACCCUUUGUAAGCAAAAAUGGGUGUUACAGACACCAUUCCUUUCAUCCCCACCCUUCUCGCUAUAGCUUCUCCAACCUCACACCAGUCUCGUAUUUUUCCUUUGCCUUCACAAACCACAGCUCUUGCCCAUUUUCCAACUGGCAUCUCUGCACCAUUCCUAGUUCCUCUCUCUGCAACCACAUCAGCAUAGGUCCUCUCACCUCUGUACAUUCCUUUUCUCUCUUGAGGCUUUUUUUGCUUCUCCUUCGAAUCUCUUUCAGCUUGAACAGAGAUCUCUUGGACUGAAACAAUCACCUUCCUAAGGUUUUCCCACCCACAGCCAUUAACACCUCUUGGAACAACUAAGACCAAAGGUUUUCUCUUUGCAACGUAUUCUGUGAUUUUCAUAUAACUCCCUCUGCUGUUAAAACAUAUCUCCAUCAGAUGAGUCCUAGUCUUGCCCCUCAUUUUUCGAAUGAAACCCCUGGAAUCCUCCAACUCCACAGCUUUCUCUAACUGCUCCACUAGCCAACCCGUCUCCUCUUCUCCAAAACCUAAAGAAACCACAAAACCUCGACUUCUCUCUGUUAUUGAAAUCCACGUUCCUCCAUUGUAAUCUUCAGACUUCACCUGGAAAACCUUUCUCUCCACUACAACCGACUGAAUUCGAAUCAUCUUCAAUCCUCUAUGGUUAUUCUUUCACAAUCAGAAUUUCGGUUCUGAAUCUCCUUUCCAGAAAAAUCCAACAUUUUAAAUUUAUUAUUAUCAUAGAAUCAACAUAUAAUUCUAAUAUAUUUAAAAAAAACAAAAAACAAAACAUUAAAAGUAUUACAAUUUUUAAUAUAACAAACUUGAUAUAUAUAGAGAGAGAAAAAAAAAAUUUUAAAAAGCAUUACUUUAUAAGAUCUUCGAAGUAACAAAAAAGCAAUUCCACAUAAUAAUAAAAUAAAUUCAAAGACAAUUAAAUGAUUAUAAAUAAUUAAUUAUAAACUAAAAAAUAACAAAAUAAGGUGAGAAAUGGACCAUCCCAUUGGCAUAGCACCAGCACAACCAAUUGGUCGGCACUACACAGCACCAUUAUCCUAUGGACUAAUGGGUCAUGCCGGGCUGCCCAUUUAGCUUGCAUGGAUGAGCAGAGCAAGGCACAGCACAACAUGACACAUUUUCAACUAGGUCAUAUUGGCCUAGCACGAUGGCCCGCCAAACAUUGGGCCAUGUCAACCAAAACUGACCAUUUGACACCUCUAGUUGUAGGAUGAAAAAGGUUUAUAACCCAAUUUCCAUGUCAACAAUCUUUUCAAGCACUAAAAGAACUUGUCAUUGAGUACUUACCUGCUUUGGUCAAGAAGCAUGAUGCACUUCUCUAGAUAGGUGAGGAAACUAGAAGACUUUUUUUUUAUAGUUAAAAGAUAAUGUAUUAAAAACAAGAAGUAUACAUCACGUAUAUACAAAGCAACCAAAGAGAAAGAAGGUGCAAAUACACAAAAACUAGCAAUUGCACCUUAAGAAGAACCUAACCAAUCAACAAAAUCUAACAUCAACAAAGCACCAUCCCUAAUGUACAAUCUAACCCAAUCCCAAAAUAGAUACAAAAAGGAGUUUUUAAAUGUUUGAUCUAAACUUUCACAAUUCUCAAAGGCUCUCCUAUUUCUCUCCCUCCAAAUAGUCCAAAAAAGGAAUGAAGGAGCAACUUUCUAAACCUUUUUCAUUUUUCCACCAACAAAAGAGUCUCCCCAACUCAAAAGCAACCCUCUCAUCGAAGAAUGCAUCACCCACUGUACAUCAAAAAGAGCAAAAAUCAACUAUCACAAAAUACGAGCUUUCAGACAAUGCAGUAGAAUAUGGUCACACAUUUCUUCUUUGCACAUGUAGCAUCUAUUAAGCAUCUUCCAACCCCACUUUCUGAGCUAAUCCUAAGUCAAAAUAUUGGCCCAAGUUGCCUCUCAAGCAAAGAAGCUAACUCUAAUAGGAGUCCAAGAGUUCCAAACUAUACCAUGAGAUCUGCACCCCUAUUAGCCAAGGAGGAAUAGAAGGACUUAACUGAAAAUACCGACUUAACUGAAAAUACGAAUUAACUGAAAAUGCACCAUUCUUUGUAUCCCUCCACACUAAUAAGUCCUCAAACUCCAAAGAGAGGAGUGAUCAUGCAACCUCUCAAAGAAGUUAUCUACUUUCUCCAACUCUCAAUCAUUCAACUGUCUAAAAAACCAAGGAUUCCAACUACCACCGUCCCAAACAUCAACCACCCAAGCAUCUUUAGAGGAAGCUAUAGCAAAAAGAUCCAGGAAAGCAUCUCUCAAAGAUGCAUCUCCACACCAUCUAUCUUUCCAAAACUUCACCUUAUUUCCAAAACCAAUCCUGAAGAGAAUUUUAACUUUAAAAGCCUCUCAACCAUUUCUAAUUGCCUUCCAAACCCCCACUUCAUACCUCUCUGUCACCCCUUUCGUGCACCAACCUCCAUCUUCUUGCCCAUACUUGCCAACAAUUACCCGUUUCCAAAGGGGCUCUCUUUCAGUCACAAAUCUCCAAGACCACUUUCCUAAAAGGGCCUUAUUAAAGGUCGAAAGGUUUUUGAAACCCAAACCCCCUUUCACUUUAUCCAGACACACAACAGACCAGCUCAACAAAUGGGGCUUAUUAACCAAAGCUCCCCCUCCCCAAAGAAAAUCCCUUUGAAUCUUUUCCAAUCUAGUCAUUACCCUCUUAGGGAUGACAAGGAAGGACAUAUAGUAGAUCAGUAAGCUAGAUAAGGUGUUCUUAAUUAGAGUCUGCCUUUUGCCUUUUGAGAGAUACUAUCACUUCCACAAAGCAAACCUUUUUUGAAACCUCUCCUCUACCCCUUCCCAAACCCUUGAAGACUUGUAAGGCGCACCCAGAGGAAGACCUAGGUAGGUGGUUAGGAGAGCACCCACCAUGCAAGCUAGUACUAGCAAGCUCCUCCAAAUUUGGAACAUCCCCAACUGGAAUCAACUCACUUUUCCCUAGAUCAAUCUUUAGCACUAAACACGUCUCAAACCACAUGAAGACCCAACUCAAAUGCUCAAGAUUUUCCUUACUAGCAUCACAAAGAAUGAGAGUAUCAUCUGCAAAAAAAACAAAUGGGACACCUUUACUCCCACAUAAUGCCUUCCUCUAACUUGAAAACCGUUGAUAAAACCAUCUUCCAUUGCCCUAGAGAGCAAUCGGGAGAAAGACUCCAUCACCAAAACGAAUAAAUACGGGGACAAAGGAUCUCCUUGUCUAAAACCACUAGAACUUCUAAAAAAAACCUGGGGGGGAACCAUUUACGAAGACAGAGAAGCAGGCUAUAGAAAUACACCAUCUGAUCCAUCCUAUCCACUUGGAUCUAAACCCCAUAUUCUCCAUAAAUGCAAUGAUAAAAUUCCAAUUAACACAAUCAUGGGUCAUAACACCAUCAUAGGCCGAAAGUCUAAAGAACCCACCACCUUUUUUAUCCUAUUUGCUAGGAACCUUAGCCAAAAGUUUAUAUAACCCUCUAACCAAGACGAUAGAUCUAAAGUCCUUUAGGUCUUCUACCACCCCCCCCACAAAAAAAAAAAAAAUCAUUUUUAGGAACUAAAGCUAAAAAUGUUGCAUUUAAACUUCUCUCAAAAGACCCCAAGCCAAAGAAUUCACCAAAAAAACCCAUGACCUCAUGUUUCACAAAAUCCCAACUAUACUGCCAAAAAGCCAAGGAAAAACCAUCCGAGCCCAAGGCCUUAUCUCCCCUCAAGCUGGAUAAAGUUGCAAGAACCUCCUCUUCAGAGAUGGGGAUCUCUAAGGCUUUUGAAUCAAUUAGCUGCAAGGAAUUGAAGACCAACUCGUCUAUACUUGGCCUCGACUCCCCCGCUUCUGCUAGAAUCCUUUGAAAAGCAUUUGUUACCCCUUCUUUGAUGUUAUCCUCUCCAACUAGCAUCUCACCUUUUACCCUUAGCUUGGCCAUGAAGUUCCUCCUUCUUCAAGCAUUUGCCAUUUUAUGAAAAAAUCUUGUAUUUUUGUCCCCUUCUUUUAGCCACAGCUCUCUUAACUUUUGCUUCCAAGAGAUUUCCUCCAUCUUUGCCCAUUUCUUAAACUCUUCCACCACACCUCUUCCAACCUCAUUUUCCUCCACUAUAAGACCACAUUCCCUUUCCUUUGCAUCCCACAGCCUUAACUGUGCCAAGGCCUCAAGUUUCUUGGUGAAUAGAUUCCCAAGAACCUCUUGAUUCCAGAUUUCAAGGUCCUAUAUCAAGGCUUUUAACUUCCUCGCCAGAAUGUGACUAAAGGACCCUUAAACACUGUACCCCCUCCCACCAAUUCCUGACAAGAUCUUUGAAAACUUCCACCUUUAACCCCAUAUUUUCAAAUUUGAAAGGUGUCUUACUUUUCCUUAUCCCUCCACUGUCAAGCAGGAUCGAUGCAUGGUCCGAGACUAGAUUUGGAAGGGUGCUUUGAAAUAACCCACUGAAAUUGUUCUCCCAAUUCAUCAAAAACGAGAAAGCGAUCUAGCCUAGAGGCUAACCUAUUAUUUAAUCCACCACACUAGGUAAACAAACUACCAGAUAAAGAGAGAUCUUUAAGACACAUUUCCUCAAUAAAUUGUGAAAGCGUCUCAUAGAAGCAAAUAAGCUUUAACAAUUUCUCCUUUCCAUCGGGAAUCUUAAUACAUUAAAGUCCCCUCCCACACACCAAGGAUCAUUCCAGAGACCUCUAAUAGUGCUCAACUCGUUCCAAAAAUCUUCCCUCUCCUCAACCAAAAUAGGGUUGUACACCCUCGUGAACAUCCACACAAAAUUGUCCUCACAAUUUAAGCGACAAGAAACUGCAAAGGCCCCUAACUCCAUUUUAAUAAGCUCUAACACCCGAUUGUCCCAAAAAACCAAAAUACCCCCUACUUGUCCCCCUAGCGUCCACUGCUCCCCAAUUCAGACACCUCCCCACACCUAGACUCCUCAUCAGGCAUGUUGUCCUUUGUUGCACCUUUGCUUCUUGAAGACGGACAAGGUCAACCAAGUGGAACCGAAUCAUAGUUUUUAUGAUCUUGCACUUAUCCCCCUCGUUUAUCCCUCGAACAUUCCAAGAAAAGAUUUUGAGCUUCAUCGUCAUGGCUAGGUUUCUUCUCCAAAAGUGUCAUAUUUGCUUAUUCGCCUCCUUGUCUGAUAUGUUAUUGGUUCCAAUGUGCAACAUUUCUAUUGAGAGAUUAUGGUUUCCCAUGUACCUUCCAACACAUCUCCUUUGUAAGCCAUGGUUUCUUGAGAUAAGUACACUAAGGGUUAUCCUUGUUACUUGGUUGCUCAGAUACCCCUCCUUUGCUAGAAUUUGUGCUAAGGAUUGGACCUCUUUAAGAGCUUGAAACAACAUAUAUGGUCUUCACUUGUUAGAUUGUUCACAAUUACACUCCUCGCUUCUUCAACCCUUAUGAUUGAGAAUACCUUAUUCAAGAAUAUUAGUGAUUCCUUCCCAAAUACUUGAACACGUACUUAUCAUAUUUCGCGUUAAAUUUAACCAAGAAUUCAAUUAUUCACACUUUUUCUAUAAACUUAAGAAACAUAGCAGCAUACUCACUAUUCUUCAUUUCAAGAUUUUGAUAAUAGUCUAGUUCAAACCACAAUCCUUUCAUAACAUUAUAGUACUCAAUUACAAAUAAAAUUCUUUGCUUUGUAAAGUGAAUCUUGGUCUUUAUCUUACCAAUCUAAAGAAAAUCUUGUACUUGGAACAAAGUCUAUUUCACUGCCUCCUAAAUUUCCUUUGUUGUGGUUAAGAACAUACACGUUUCACUGAUUUCAAGUUGCAUCAUCUUCCAUACCCAAGCCAUAAUCAUUGAGUCCCCAUUCCAAACAACAAACUUGGGAUCAUCUUCACUCAGCUUUGGUCCAAUCAAGCAAUUAAGCUUGCCUUUUCUCUUGUAGAAAUCUGCACACUAGAUUUUUUUAUAUUCACAAGUCGGUGGUUAGUUCUGAAAUGUAAACGUAGUGGGUAGCAAAAUAGAGAUAGAACUCGAGAGAAUAGUGGUGCAACAGAUAAUGUGAAAAAACUGUUGAAUUAUAACAAUGGUAUUAACAAUAAAGAAGGCCAAUGAAAGAGGAAGAAACAGUGAUGGCAAUAAUGGCCACUGGAGGCAAAGAAUAGUGAUAAUGAAGGCCACUAGAAAUCAACAGUAAUGAAGACCACGGGAAGAAAAAUUAGAAGAGAACUUAGAGACAUUGAACAGACUUGGUUACCAUGUGGAAAAGAACAAUCUUUAUUAUUUUAUUUUGAACAAAAUGAUACAAUAUUUAUAGUGUACAAUCCUACAUAAGUAUGAAACUAAAUUACUAAGUUAGGAGAUUCACUCAUUCCUAGAAAUCCUCUAUCCUACAAAUCAGGAAAAUAAAACAAGAAUGUUUAUAAUGAUACAAUCUCGAAAAUCAAGGAAGGCAUACAACUAUACUAUCUAAUUUUCAAGCCAAUGAGUCAACAAGUCCUUAGCAUUUUGUAAGUGACCAUAUAUAAAAUUUAGCUUUGGCUUUCCUUUCAAGUUUUUUUCUACAAUAUAUUUAUCGAAUUACUCAGUUCUCUAUGUUGUGUGCUUGUAUUUGAAAACUAAUCCAUAUAUAUUAUUUGUUCAAAUAUUAGGUUAUAGAUGCAAAACAAUUUUCACAUUUUGGUACAUUCAGGCUGUAAAAUGAAGACAUGAUGCUCCUUCUGUCACAUCAACCGACUUCUCCCUGAUUAAAUCUAAUUAAAAGAAAAUCUAAUUGUUGGUCCUUCUUCUAUUCACUUCCAUUUCAAAGAAACGGUGCACAGUAAACGGAUAGCAUUUUUUAACAGAAACUAUAAUUUUAUUAAGUGAAAGAAGAAUAUACUAUGAACAGUCCUCUAGAAAGAGUGCUCAUGAACACAAUUAAACUAAACAACAUGAGAGCUUCCCACAAGGACAAUAAAGAGCCCUGCCUUGGCCCCCCAAAGAAAAGGUGUCCAAAGCUCAAGGAGGCAUGGCAUCCUCAAUAAAGUCAACAAGAUAGGGAGCUCCUAUCGUAGCAAACCUCCCAACUUCCUAAUUAACCAAUUUGGAUUUCCAGGAACAAAGAGUUCAAAACUCUAAUGAUACCAUGACCUUCCACACCUAACAUUAUCGUACUACCAUAAUCCUCUCUGUGCAUUAGCCACCCAAUAAGAAGCUUUCAUUGACUCUCCCUCUACCAAAAGAUUGAAGAUUCCCAAUCAUCUUGCAAUUUUUAAGCUCUCUACUGGUGCUAGUAUCUUUACUUAAAUGGGUAGCCUCAAAACUGGAAUGCUCGGUCAACUAUGAUAGAUCUCCUCUGACAGUUGGGGAAAGGAGGAGCAGUAAGGAUCCAGCUCUCUCAGUGUGAGAUUGCUUUAACUUUGCUCUUAGAUUGGUUAAGGGCAUUUUUUGUAGAUUUGCUCAGGGGGCAGAUCGUGUUCUGUCUAGCACUGGGGUGCUUCUUGGUUUUGGGAACUGUGGCAUCAAGAGGGCCUGAUAAGGGGGCAGUCCCUUUUUCUGGGGUGUCUAGAGGGUUGGAUUUUGUUAGAGUGGUUGGUAUUUUCUGUUCUCUCUUCCUUCUUACUUGUCUUUUGGUGUAAUUUGUAUACUUCGUUUGUACUUUGUUGUGCCAUUUUCCAAACACUUUUUAUAUUUUCUCUUAAUUUACCUAUCAAAAAAAAAAAAAACUAGCCCGAACCCAACUGCCUUGAGAAGCUUAGAUAAUAUCAUCCUCAUAACCCAAAUAAGGCCCAAAAUUCAAUCUCACCCUAGUUACUCAAGGAGAAAGAAUUGAUAUUGAGCUUAAAGGUCUCUUCAGGGGCGGAUACACUGCACCCAGAACUGAUCUCCAAUUUGCUUAAACUAAUGUUAAUGGGAACUCUAGAAAACUCUUUAAUGAUCAACACCCAAAUAGUUGCAAGGAAACACAUUCUCACUUAUCAAAAAAAAAAGAUCAACCACCAAUCUCCUUUUUGUCCUCCAAAAUUUUGGCAUUCUAUUCCAACCAAAAACCCAUAAGCUAGCCAAGAUAAUGUCCAUUCCGCUAGCCCCACCCACUUAGACCCAUUCAUUAUGGACUGCUAUCAAACCCUUAAAAAGGGUAACCACCAAGUCAAAUGUGUCACUGGGAGCUACGCAUGCUAGCUUCACCAAAACAAAUCAUAUCAAAGAUACAAGAAGGAUGGCCUGUCCUUCAAGGAGAGGUAUAGAGAUAGUACAUUGCAAGAAGGGCAUCACUCUUACAAUAAUAACAAUCCCAAUUCUGAUAAAAAAUAAAAAAUAAAACAAUCCCAAUUGGUUUCACAUUUGGCUUCAAACCCUGCUAAUUUCCUAAAAUUUUCUGUCUGAUGCAAUGUCCAUGCUAGCAACAAACAACAGCUAUAAUUGUCUGAGUCAAUAAGCUUUAGCCUCAAUUAUCUUUGUGUGAGAAGGCCUGACAUAAUCCAUAGAAACUCACCACCCAAGACCAUUGUCAAAGCUGAGUUUCCAAAAAGAUGCAGACUAUCAUAUUUGCAAUUAACAUUUUUUUUUUUUUAUCAGAAACAAACAAUUGAAUUAAAAUAGAAAAACAUGAGAAGUCCACCCCAAUAUGAAGCCCUCCCCAGACUAUCAUAUUUGCAAUUAACAUUUUAGCAAAAGAAUCACCCCAUAAUUGAAACUUACAAUUCUUUUUUGCAGCACUACAUGUUAUGGUGUGCACAGAUAUAUGUCAACUACCUACCUAAUGCUUUCCUAAUGUUCUUUUCCAGGAAACUAAAUUCAUUAGAAUGACAAAUAAAAGAAAUAACGGCAAUCAGGAUGUCACCAAACAAAGAUAAACGCAAAAAGUAAAAAAAAUAAAAUCAAAAAAUCAAAAAGCAAGAAAAAGAAAAGCAAAUAAAGGAACAAAACAUAUGCUAUAUUUGCCCCAAUAGAUGCCCUACAUCAAACAAACCAAAAUAAGGAGUGUGGAUGGAUAGUAGAACAAAUUUUACCCUCAAAAACAAGAACAUAAAUAAAAAUAAAACACAAACCUGGAACCCAAACACAUACUCCAGAAGAUCAAACAUGUCCACAUCCCUCUGACCAGAAAUCUCAAAAUUAGCAGGAAGUUGAGGGAAGUGUUCUGUGUAUCUAAUCGCAGAUAUUGCACCUUUAACCUGGACACAUUAGCCAGACACCACCAGAAACAUGAAUAUUUUUAUCCCAAUACCCAAUAGAGUUUGCAGUAAAAAUGCCAUGCAGACCGGAACUCCCAUGAUGAGACAGCACAGAAUAUUGCAUGUGUAUCCUCUAUUUUUUCCUCCAAUGAUAAACAGCACAGAACUUGAAGCUAUAAACUCUUUAACUAAUCCAUAUUAAAGACACGGGAAACUAGAUAGAGGUAGGACUCAGCUGGAAAUUACUGCAAAACACCAACGAAAGAAAUAAGCAACAAGACUAGUAGUGCGUUUGACAGUGAUUUUAAAAAAUGUUUUUAAUCUUUUUAACACUUGAAUGAUAAAAAUUUUCAAGUCUUAAAAAUGUUGUAAGCGUUUUCUAAAAUCACUGUCAAACGGACUCUAGAUCUCAUUUGCAUUAAACUUACUUCAGGGAAAACUCCAAUAGCAUUGGUCAAAGAUGGGGCUUCUAGAGGGACAAUGUUGUAGGGCAUGAGUUCUCCUGAUAAUGUUCCAUCUGAUCUUUUUAUCCUUCUCAACUGAAACAAACCAAACAAGAAAAAAGAAAAGGAAAGAAGAUACUAGUAAAUACUAAGUACUAGUUAAGAAAAAGAUUGUUGAAAGCAAUGAUAAAAAGUGCUACCUAUCCUAUUAAGCUCCAAAAGUACACAAAUGCUAAAUAAAAGCCAAAAAGAGAAUACUCCAAGAAGUUGAUAAAAUGUGUAAAGGACUGAUUGCCCGACUACCAGCAUCACUAAAGGUGAUAAGUCAAAAAACAAUAGCUCAAAGUCCAGGUAGACAUAAUAUUACUAACUGGAGCAAUCUCUCGAACAUCUAAAUCCUAACACCCACGCCCACCCCCCGCCCCUCUUUUUCCCCUUUUUAGGAUAGGCAAAUUAGAGAUAGAUUCAAUAGAGAACACAUAAAUCCCAAGUUACUAACAGCAACUGUGCAAACCAAUUAGAAAUUACAGCUCGGCCUUCAGAUUUCCUUUGUUAAGCAGAUUUCAUACUGUCACAUCCAAAGGAAGUCAGAAGACAAUCACCUCCUCCCUAAUAUGCAACCCAACACCAGAAUCAGCAUCUUUGUUAAGUGCCUCCAUGACCUCAACCAAAGCCCUCAAAGUAGCAAACACCUUUUUCAUUUUUAAGGAUCUGAGUUCCAUCCUGAAACAAUAAAAUCAUGUCAAAUCAAUCUGUCACCUUUUCUUUGAUAAGAAACAAAGACUCGUUCAGUGAACUGGCUGUGUAGAAUCCCAAAAGAAAAUACAGAAGUGAUUAAACUUCUAGGUGGCUGCUUCCACAUUAUGAGUGUAUCCAGUGACAACUAUUCGAUCACCGAAUUUUAGACUCUAAGAAAUAGUUAGUUUCAGAAAAUUUGAUCAAGCUUGAAGAGGAGAGUGAGGCAAACCAUUCUUCCAUAUUUACUUUUUGGUUAUCAGCAAUGCAAUUACAACAUUACUUGUAGGAAACAAGAAACAUUUCAGGAAAGAUAAAGCAUAAACAAGGAUGAGAUAUUGUUCAAAGAAAGUGAAACUGCAAAAACCUAAAGCCACACAAAAACCAGAACCCCAUCCAGAAAUCCCCAAGUAGGACAAAUUCUCGGCAAAAUCUAGAGGCUCCCUUCUUUGCAUGGCCAUCAGUGUGCUGAUACAUAGGCAACCAUGCAAAAGAGGAAAGAUGACCUUAGCCAAAUCAAGAUCUAACCCAUCCAAUGAAGUGGUCUACAAGGGCCCCCAUAUUCUGCAGGCAUCAAAGAAAUUACCACCAAGAAGUCCCCUUCCAAAAUUUUCCUUGAUAGGCUGCAUCAAUAUGUGUAGCCAGUUCCCUUUCAAUAAGUAAAUUAUGCAUGAAUCGACAAAAAGGUACUAAACAAUACCAAUUCACAAGGAUACAUUCGCACUACACAAAAAAUGGUGGGGGGAAGAAAAAGAAGAAAGAAAACCUUAAACAACACACAAGAUCCCCAAACUGCCAAAGCUUGGAACCUUAGUUUAGGCAAAGACUACUUUGUUGAUGAUGAAAUCCAGAAUUCUGGAAAAGCAUAAUUUCUUAAGAGUCUGUUUGGGAAUUGUUUUUAGAUAUAGCUUUUUGUUCUUAAAAAAAAAAAAAAUUGUUUUCCAAACUCAACAACAAAUUUGACACUUUUUGACAAAAAAAUAGUUUUUUGAGAACUUGUUACAAAAAUAAGUAUUUUCUUAUAUCAUUUUUUUUAUUGUUUUCACUUGUUUUCUAGGAACUAUUUUAAAAUUAAUUGUACAAACAUGAAGAAUGAUUGCAAAUAAAACAUUAUAGAUAAAAGUUAUUUUUAAGGAAUAUUUAAAAGCAUAAAGAACACGUUGAGAACACUCCAAGUCCCCAAAUAGACUUUCAUUCUAGAAAACAUCUGAGAACUAUUUUUGAAAACUAUCAUCAAAAGCUAUUUUGAGAGUUGUUUUUGAAAACGUUCCCAAACAAGCCUUUAAUGUUUUUACUGAUUCAAAUAUAUUGUUUCUCAAUAAAUGUAACCUCAAAUUAACCCCACUCCAGCUCCAAAAUUCAAUUUUAUCAACUAAGCAGAUUUAAUUCCCAAUUCUUGUAAUCAAAUAUGACAUAAGAGGAAACUGUUCUCAUGUCUCAGCCCUUUAAAGAAAUUAUGCAUAUAUGCAUCUAUAUGAGUGUAUCUGUUGUUAGCAUAAGCAGACAACUGCAUUACAAGGAAACUCAUAGAGCAGCAUAAUUUGGGCAACAGACAACUAGAUUAGAAGGAAACUCAUAAAGCAGCAUAAGUUGGUCAUACUCUCCCAAGUUAGCACUAAAAGUUCCAGUUUCACGCCAUUUUUGUUCCUCUCUUUGAAUAUCAUCCACUCGAUGUCGUCUCUUGUAGGACAGAUAAAAAUUCCACAAACGCUCAACAUCACGACUACGAUCUAUUUGAGUUCCAUCCCUUUUGGCAAGUUUUUGCUGCAGCAAAUAGUCAAAUCAUCAUAAAUUGUCAAGUAAAAAGGCAGAACUAGUACAGAGUACACAGUCAACAACUACGCCAAUCAGCUGAUGACGUAGCUGUAGGCAAAAUAAGAACCAUAAAGUGCCAUGUAUUUUACUAUGCCAGACAAAAGUAAAACUUAGUACCUUAAUUAUAGACUGCAAACCAGUUUUAAACUGGAGAACGCCUCUACCAUCACUGUUGGGAUCCAGAUUUUGUGCCAUAGUGUAUGCUUGCUCACACACUAAAAUCCAAAUGAAAAAAAAAAAAAUUAAUAAUUACCAGAAAGUUCAUUGAAAUAGUAGAGAUUAUCCAUGAUGAAAUGCUCAAGCUAAGAUACUCGCAUUUUCUCCUUUUUUUUUACAUUGCCCAAUGACUAUGGAAUUAAGGCAUAAGCUUUCUAGACUAGCCAAUUUGGUUUGGGUUCCUCCUAGAAUUGUAUUUGAUAUGUUAACCAUUUCUUUUAGGUUGGGACUACUAUUAAGAGCAAAGUUCUAUGGCAAAUCGCUUGUCUUACGUUGAUUUGGAUAGCAUGACCAAAAAAGAAAUGCCAUGGAUCUUCGAGGACAAGUGAAGGACAUCCGAAAUGUUAUGGAACCUAGUCUAUUUAAAUUCAUCAUUUUGGGUGUCUACUACUACAACUUUUAAGGUCAGCCUCUCAACUUUAUUCAACUUGAUUGGAUUUUGAUAUGUAGUUCAAAAGUGUCAAAAUAGUAACGUUGAGACGUUUUUAUAUAUUCUAGUAUCUUUUUUCUUUUUCUUUGUUUGAUCAGGUUUGUAAUUAGGGAAGGAUUGUUCAUCCUUCUCAAUUUUACUCUUUUAAUGAAAACAUUUUUGUUUAUGAUUCCAAAAAUAAAAAAAGAUACUCACAUUUUCUCCAACAAAACGCUAUCAACUUCACCAAAAGUGAACAAGCCCCUCAAGAAAAACUAAUAUUUUGUAAUAGAUCAUAAGGAGGGCAUCCUUGAUUGAAAAAGACAUUACCCAAAGUUGUACGAUUCUACUUCACAAAGACAUUUGGGAAUGGUUUUUGAAACUGCCGCAAGAGAUCUGAAGCAAUAGAGCAAGGCGGUUUCAAUAGUACCUUUGCAUUUUGGGAGAAGACAUGGUAAGGACGUUGAAGGUCUUUGUGGAGAGGAAGACUUUCUUGGUUAGGUUGGAAGGCAAGCACGGAGGAAAUUGGUGCUCGAUUAUAGAGCAUAGUAGAGCCUUUGUUUUUGUCCUAGGUUUUGAAAAGGAUGCAGUCGGGUGGAUGAUCCAACAUUUGACGAAAGCCAUCAAAAUGAAGAGUCACCUGGGAUUCAACAGAAAGUUCAAGGGAAAAUGUUGUGUCCACUUGAUGGAAGUUGGCUUCAACAACCACGGAAGGUUCAUAAGGAUCUCGGAGUUUGCUACCAAAAGAAAAUCUUCUUUUCUGAUUAUUCCUAAGGGCGAGAAGGGCAGAGGAUGGGAGAAUAUUAAAAGCGUGUUGUCUUCAAUGUUGGUGGUCCCCCAUUCGAAUGUAGUCGAAAAAGGAAGGCAAUAUAGAGGGGAAAGAUUUUCCCACAAUCACAUGGGUCCUCUGCAUCGGUCCUUCGCGAAAGUAGUCAGUGGUGAAGGACCAAGAGGAGGAGGCCUUAUUCCUGUCGGGAGGUGGGCACGAGCCGUGGAGUGUGAACGCAAUGAUGAUAGCGUUAAAUGGGUUGAGGUUGGCCGAGCGAUGAUGAGAAGCUUAGGGAAGAAAGGUGUAGUAACGAUUGUACCCAUCUCAGGUGGAAAAGGAGUAUUUUUCGUUGAAACAACAGAGGAAGCUCUCUUUCUCCAAGAUUUGAGGAAUUUAAGGGUUGAGGGAAGGAAUACAGUCCAGUUGCGAAGAUGGUCACCGAAGGAAAAUUCGGAAAUAGAGGGGAAGUUCAGGAGGAGGCUGGAUUGAAUUACGGGGGUUGCCAUUUCAUCUAUGGUCUGAGGUACACCUGAAGAAAAUUGUGGAGCAGUGGGGGACGGUGACUGAAAUUGAUUGGCGAACGUUGAAACUGUUCGAUCUUAGCAAGGCGAGGGUAAGAAUCGCAAUGAAGGAUAGGUCAGUCCUCCCAGCUUUGAUCGAGGUGACAGACAGGGAUUGGGUGUUUACAGUUUCCGUCGUAGUAGUCGAAGAUGAAGACGGUCGAAGAGGUAGCAUAAAGGGCAAGUCGACUGAGGAGGUUAUUGCAUCUCAUUCAAGGACAGGUGGAGAAAGGCCGGGGGAGAGAGUUAGAUCAACGGCUGGGGGAAGAUGCCGUGUCGGGGAAGAUAGCAGAAUGAGGAAGGGGGGAGAAAGGGGUAUGGUUGCGUUUCUUUCAUAGGGGACACAUGGUAAGGAUGGUCAGAUUCCAUCGCUGCCUAGUUUGAAUUCAAAUAAAACGGACGAUGGGCUUGUUGAGAUUGAGGAAGCGGGAAGAGUUAGGGCUGGAGGGGACGAGGCCUCCGCUGUUGAGGGUUGUCGAGCCUACGAGAGGAAGGCCCAAUCAUUGUCUAAGACUGGUCCAAAAUAUGCAAAAGUGGGCUGCAAUUCCAAAGGCCCGUUGGGGUUGGGCCUAAGCCUAGGAGGAAAAAACCCAGAUGAGACGGUGGUGUCAUUACGAAAGGAAGAAGAUCCUUCUGCAACAGGAAAGGGGAAAACAGUUUUCGUAUUUCUUGAGGUUCGAUCAAGUAGUUCCGCGAAGAAGAAGGUGAUGUUUGGUUCAAAGAAGUUGUGGUUUACCCUUUUUCCUCCAAGCUCUGAGAGCCGACAAGGUCUUUGGUGUCGCAGCGAGCCUCUAUUGCAUGGGAAGAAUCAAGCAGACAGCGAAGAGGACCCAAAGGAAGAGGCUACCGGGGCCGAUUUUCAGGCGGAUCGAGGAUCUAGUGCGAGUCCUCUCUUUUCUCGUUGAUUUCCAAGGUUUCGGAAUAAUUGUUUGGGGGAAGGGGCUUCGUCGUCAAGAAACGAAGUGGCUUUAAACAAAUUUUCCUCCGACAAAGACAGGGAAGGAUUUUUGGGCCGAGUGGGGUUCGAUCUUCGUGGCUCAGCAAUCAUUGUUUUGCCCUCUACACCUGAAAUCAGAGGUAAAAGGCUUAACUUUAUGGGGAAUUGUGGAUUGUUGGUCGCGGAAAAUUUGGAGGUAAUCCUGUCUUCACCUAUUCAGUCACCCUCGUCUUCUAUACUCCCUUCUUGUGGUUUGACUUCUUCUUUUCUGAGUCCUUCUGUUCCCAAUCUUCCCAGUUCAGCCUUUUAGUCUCAGUUUCCUUUGGAAAAUCGAGUAAACUCUAAAUUUUUUUCCAAAAAAGACAACGAUGGUUCUGUAGGUCAAUCUUUUGUUGGCAUCCCUAAUCUUGUAAUGGAGGUGAUCCAACCUGCUUAUCCAUACCAGAUGACCGAGAGUGUUAACCCAUUUUUGCCUAAACCAAUUUCGCUUAAUAAGGCCUCCAACCUGGUUACAGUUAGCCAGGGUGUUACUGCGGGCUCCCCAUCGGGUGUGUUCCAAAUUGAAGGACUGUCCCCCAGGAAUAUGGCAAAAGUGUGCGAGGUUUUAAAAUCUCCGGAUAUUAAGGUAUUUUUCAGGAGGAAGAGCAGAUGCUCCACAGGUUUGUGAGACCUGUUGGAACUGGAUUGAAGGAUUAGGGUCUGUGAGUUUAAUCCAUGAAGAUAAUUAGUUGGGAUUCCAGGGGUUUGGGUUCAAGAAAAAAGCGAAGGGUGGUUAAAGAUUUUCUAAGAUUAGAAAAGUCGGAUGUAGUGAUGAUUCAGGAAACAAAAAAGGCGGAGUGCGACAGAGGGUUCGUGGGUAGUGUUUAGACAGUUAGAAAUAAGGAAUGGGCAACCCUUUCGGCGUGCGGAGCUUUGGGUGGGAUUUUGAUUAUUUGGGACUCUAAAAAACUACGUAGUGAGGAGGUGGUAAUAGGUUCCUUUUCGGUCUCAAUCAACUUCACAUUGGAUGGAUGCAAACCAUUAUGGUUAUCCGCAAUUUAUGGCCCAAACAGCACAAUACUUAGGAAGGAUUUUUGGGUGGAGCUUUUAGACAUUUUUGGACUUUCUUCCCCGUGUUGGUGUGUGGGUGGUGAUUUCAAUGUCAUAAGGAGAAAUUCAGAAAAAUUGGGAGGUUCUAGUUUAACCCCAAGCAUGAAAGACUUUGUUGAUUUUAUAAGAGAAUGUGAAUUGAUAGAUUCUUUACUCUAAUGAGUGGGAACAAUUAUUUCCUCAAAGUCUUCAAGAAGUUCUUCCUAGAUGAACAUCGGAUCAUUGGCCGAUAGUCUUGGAAACCAAUCCGUUCAAGUGGGGCCCAACACCGUUUAGGUUUGAGAAUAUGUGGUUGCAACAUCCUAGUUUUAAGGAGCGCUUUGGAAGUUGGUGGAGAGAGUUUCAAGGAAAUGGGUGGGAAGGUCACAAAUUCAUGAGGAAAUUACAAUUCAUUAACGCCAAAUUGAAAGAGUGGAAUAAGGCUUCUUUUGGAGAGCUAAAUGAAAGGAAAAAAAGUAUCAUGUUUGAUUUAGCUAACUUUGAUACCUUGGAGCAAGAAGGUGGUCUCUCCCCUGAACUUUUAGUCCAGAGAGCUUUAAGAAAAGGGGAGUUAGAGGAGUUGAUUUUGAGGGAAGAAAUACAUUGGAGACAAAAAGCUAGGGUGAAAUGGGUUAAGGAAGGGGAUUGUAACUCAAAAUUUUUUCAUAAAGUGGCUAAUGGCAGGCGAAAUAGGAAAUAUAUCAAGGUGUUGGAGAAUGAAAGAGGCCUAAUGUUGAAUAAUUCAGAAAGCAUCAAAGAGAAGAUCUUAAGGUAUUUUGAAAAGCUCUACGCGAGCCCUUCUGAAGAGUCUUGGAGAGUUGAAGGCUUAGAUUGGUCCCCUAUCUGGAGAGGGUGCGUCUAGGUUGGAAUCCCCUUUUACUGAAGAAGAGAUUUCUAAGGUUAUUUUUCAGUUGGAUAGGGAUAAGGCACCGAGGCCUAAUGGCUUUACCAUUGCAGUAUUUCAAAAUUGUUGGGAUGUGAUCAAGGAGGAUCUAGUGAGAGUGUUUGCAGAGUUUCACAGGAGCGGGAUUAUCAAUCAAAGCAAUAAUGCUUCCUUCAUAGUUCUGUUACCCAAAAAAAGCAUGUCAUAGAAAAUCUCAGACUAUAGACCUAUUAGCUUGACCACUAGUCUUUACAAGAUAAUAGCCAAAGUGUUAGCAGGGUGUCUAAGAGGGGUACUUCAUGAAACUAUCCAUUCUACUCAAGGAGCUUUUGUUCAAUGGAGACAAAUUUUGGAUACAGUUCUCAUAGCCAAUGAGAUAGUGGAUGAGAAAAGAUGAUUAGGGGAGGAAGGAGUUGUCUUCAAAAUUGACUUAGAAAAGGCUUAUGACCAUGUGAGUUAGGAUUUUUUGGAUCAUGUGUUGGAGAAGAAGGGGUUUAGUCCUAGAUGGAGGAAAUGGAUGAGAGGUUGUUUGUCCUCGAUAUCUUUUGCAAUCCUAGUGAAUGGAAAUGCUAAAGGGUGGGUUAAGGUAUAUAGAGGUUUAAUACAAGGAGACCCUUUAUCCCCUUUUUUGUUCACUUUAGUUGCAGAUGUAUUGAGCAGGAUUUUAUUUUUUAUUUUUUUAGAUAAGUGCGCAAAUAUAUUACGAGGCAAAAAGCCACAAAGCAUACAAAGAGUAUACAUAGUAGCCUAAGCAAAAACAACACUCACCACCCCUUAGGGAACAGCAAGAUGUAUUGAGCAGGAUUUUAUUUUUUAUUUUUUUAGAUAAGUGCGCAAAUAUAUUACGAGGCAAAAAGCCACAAAGCAUACAAGGAGUAUACAUAGUAGCCUAAGCAAAAACAACACUCACCACCCCUUUGUAAUUUUUCGAGCCUUUUAGCAACUAGCUUAGGCAUGCGAAAAAGAGACAAUUGGUAAAUAGGCAUGCUGGCCAAGGUGCUUUCAAUGAGGGUAAUCCUCCCGCCCUUUGACAAAUAUUGUCUUUUCCAACGGGCAAGCCUUCUUCUCAUUCUUGCUUCAACCCCGUCCCACAUAGCCAUGGUCUUGUGCUUGGCUCCCAAGGGCAGCCCCAGAUAAACAGAAGGAAAGGCCCCCACUUUACACCCUAACUCCACCGCCAACUCAUCAAUGUCUUCCACCUCCCCAACCGGGAUUACUUCACUUUUAGCAAGGUUUAUUUUAAGACCAGAGGCUGCCUCAAACCACACCAAAAUCCAGCUUAGGUAGGUAAGGUGAUCUUGCCUUGCUUCACAAAAAAUAAUCGUGUCGUCAGCAAAAAGUAAGUGGGAAACAUUUAUCUCCAUUCCCCCCCUCCCUCGAAUCCUACAGCCUGAAAUGAAACCCCCAUCAACAGCCCUUCUUAAAAGAGCGCUUAGCACUUCCAUUCCCAACACAAAGAGGUAGGGGGAGAGUGGAUCUCCUUGGCGUAGCCCCCUAGAAUUGGAGAAAUAACCAGUUGGCACCCCAUUGACCAGAAUAGAGAAACUUGCAGUUGAGAUACACCACCACAUCCAUUUCUUCCACCGGUCCCCAAAACCCAUCUUGUGCAUGACCUUCAUGAGGAAAUUCCAAUUAAUACUGUCAUAGGCUUUUUCAACAUCCAAUUUACAAAUCAGCCCUUUCUCUUUGCGUUUAAGCCAAUAGUCAAUCACCUCAUUGGCUAUGAGCGAGGCAUCUAAAAUCUGUCUUCCCUUCACAAAAGCAUUUUGAUCCAGCGAAACCACCUUGUCUAAAACCUCCUUAAGUCUAUUGGCUAACACUUUGGCCAAGAGCUUAUACAGACCCUCAAGCAGACUGAUGGGUCUGAAGUCCCCCAAGUCCUCAACCCCCCCUUUCUUGGGGAUGAGGACUAGGAAGGUAGAGUUGAGACUCUUGGCAAACGACUUUUCUUCAAAAAACUCUUUGAACAAGUCCACAAUCUCCUCUUUCACGAACUCCCAACAAGAUUGCCAAAAGGCCACUGUGAAUCCAUCCGAGCCUGGGGCCUUAUCUCCAUUCAUCCCCAUCAGAGCCACAUGAAUCUCUUCCUCAGUAAAUGGUUGUUCCAAGCCUUCAACUUCAGCAUGGUUUAAUCUUUGGAGCUGCAGCCCUUCAAUAUCAGCUUCCCAGGAUUGCUCCUCUGACAACAGCUGCUGAAAGGCAUUCACAACCCCCUCUCUCACCUCCUGCUCCUCCUCUAGCCACCUCCCAUUGAUUUUAAUCUUUUCCAUGGAAUUAUUUCUUCUAUGAGCAUUAGCCAUCCGAUGAAAGAAACCAGUGUUCUUAUCUCCUUCCCUAAGCCACAACUCCCUAGACAAUAGUCUCCAAUGCGUUUCUUCCAAAAGCACCCAUUUUUUAAAGACAUCCUUGGCUUCUGUUUUCAGCUCCGUCUCUCUUUCAGUUAGGCUCCUGUCACUCUCCAUCCUAUCCCAAAAUUCUACUUGUUGCAAGGCUAGGUUUUUGUUGACUUCCAGCCUACCAAACACAUCCCUGUUCCAAGUUUUGAGCAGGAUGUUAUUGAGAGCAGAGGAAAGAAAUGCCUUGAAGGGUGUUUCAGGGUGGGUAGGAACAGAACAAGGGUGUCCCAUUUACAAUUCGCAAAUGAUACCAUUUUCUUUUCUAGCACUCGAGAAGAGGAUAUGCUGACCCUCAAGAGUGUUUUGCUAGUGUUUAGGCAUAUUUUUGGGCUAAAGGUUAACCUUGACAAAAGUAAUACUUAUGGCAUUAAUCUUGAACAGAAUCAUCUCUCUAAGUUGGCUGAGUUGCUCGAUUGCAAGGCUUCGGGGUGGCCUAUACUCUACUUGGGUCUUCCUCUGGGAGGGAAUCCCAAGGCUUGUGGCUUUUGGGAUCCUGUGAUUGAGAGGAUCUCAAGAAGAUUAGAUGGGUGGUAAAAGGCAUAUUUAUCUUUUUGAGGCAGGAUAACUCUCAUUCAAUCUUGUCUCACCCAUAUGCCCUGUUACUUCCUCUCCUUGUUUAAGAUUCCCGCCUCAGUGGCAGCAAAAAUUGAGAGAUUGCAAAGAGAUUUUUUAUGGUCAGGGGUUGGGGAAGGCAAAAGAGAUCAUCUGGUUAGCUGGGAUGUAGUGUGUAAUCAGAAGGCGAAAGGGGGACUGGGAUUUGGAAAGAUUUCUAUAAGGAAUUUCGCUCUCUUAGGGAAAUGGUUGUGGAGAUAUCCUAGGGAGGGUUCAACUCUGUGGCAUCAGGUUAUUUUAAACAUUUAUGGAUCACACUCCAAUGGUUGGGAUGCCAACACUGUAGUCAGAUGGUCACAUCGUUGUCCUUGGAAGGCUAUUGCACAAGUCUCCCAAGAGUUUUCCAAAUUUACUCGGUUUGUGGUAGGAAAUGCGAAAAGAAUUCGGUUCUAGGAAGACUUGUGUGGGGGGACCAGCCUUUGGGGGUCCAAUAUCCAAGACUACUUAGAGUAGUCACGGAUAAAAAUACUCCUAUUUCUUCAAUACUCGGCUCUACUCGCCCCUUCUCUUGGAACUUUAACUUUCAUCGGAACCUUUCCGAUUCUACGAUAGAAGAUUUAGAAGGCCUCAUGCGGUCUCUUGAUCGUCUACAUUUAUCACCUUCAGUUCCAGACAUGAGAUCCUGGUCUUUAUCUCCUUCAAAACUUUUUACAGUCAAAUCUUUAUUUCUUGCCUUAUCCCAAUUUUUUGGUUUGCCUCCAGUUUUCCCUACUAAGUUCAUCUAGAAUUCUCAAGUCCCUUUCAAAGUCAAGUCCUUCGUCUGGUUAGUGGUACACAAAAAGGUAAAUACUAAUGACUUGCUAUAGUUGCUAUAGUUGACAAAUGAAGCUAAGGAGAACUUCAAAAAAUGGGUUCUUUUGGAAGAAGCCCAUUGGAGACAAGUGUCUAGGGAGUUGUGGCUUAGAGAAGGGGAUAAGAAUACAGGGUUUUUUCACAAGAUGGCUAGUGCCCAUUGGAGAAAUAACUUUUUGGACAGAAUUAAAAUAAAUGGGGUGGAAUUGGUUGAGGAACAGGAGGUGAGGGAGGGGAUUGUGAAGGCCUUUCAGCACCAGCUAAGGGAAGACCCAGGGUGGAGAGCCGACUUAGAGGGUCUGCAACUUAAAAGUCUUGACCUUAGUGAAGCUGAAGCUUUGGAGGUCCCCUUUACUGAAGAAGAAAUAUUCUCUGCUUUGAUGGAUAUGAACGGCGAUAAGGCCCUAGGCCCGGAUGGGUUUACCAUGGCCUUUUGGCAAGUUUGUUGGGACUUCAUUAAGGAGGAGGUAGUAGAGCUGUUCAAGGAAUUUUACGAUCAGAAGUCUUUUGCCAAAAGUCUGAAUUCUACAUUCUUGGUCAUCAUUCCAAAAAAAGGUGGGGCUGAGGAUCUAGGGGAGUUUCAGCCCAUCAGCCUGCUAAGGGGGCUGUACAAGCUUAUGGCCAAAGUGUUGGCCAAUAGGCUAAAAAUGGUGUUAGAUAAGGUGGUUUCGGCUGAUCAGAACGCGUUUGUGAGGGGGAGACAAAUUCUAGAUGCCUCUCUUAUAGCUAAUGAGGUGGUUGACUAUUGGCAGAAGAGGAAAGAGAAGGGGCUGGUGUGUAAAUUGGAUAUUGAGAAAGCCUACGACAGCAUCAACUAGAGCUUCCUUAUGAAGGUCUUGAAAAAGAUGGGCUUUGGGUCGCGUUGGAUGGAAUGGAUGUGGUGGUGUUUUUCAACGGCAAAAUUUUCUGUCCUUACUAACGAGGUACCAGAAGGCUUCUUCUCCAGUUCUAAGGGCCUGCGUCAAGGAGACCCAAUUUCUCCUUAUCUUUUUAUCUUGGGCAUGGAAGUGCUGAGUGCACUCAUUAGGCGGGCAGUGCAGGGGAACUUCAUCUCUGGUUGUAGGCUAAGAGGUAGAGGGGAUGCGGAGAUUAUGGUGUCUCAUCUGCUCUUUGCAGACGACACUAUUAUCUUCUGCGAGGCUAGUAAGGACCAAUUAACUCAUCUUGGAUGGAUUUUGGUGUGGUUUGAGGCGGCUUCUGAGCUUAGGAUCAAUCUGGCCAAGAGUGAGCUUAUUCCAGUUGGGGAGAUUGAUAAUAUUGAGGAAAUGGCUGUGGAAUUAGGCUGCAGAAUUGGAAGCUUUCCGGUUAAAUACUUGGGGCCCGGCACAAGGCCUUGUCCACGUGGGACGGGGUGGAGGAAAGAAUGAGGAGAAGACUUGCCCUUUGGAAAGACAAUACUUGUCUAAGGGCGGGAGAAUCACCCUUAUUAAGAGUACCUUGGCCAGCAUCCCCAUCUAUCAAAUGUCCAUCUUUAGAAUGCCUAAGUCAGUGGUUAAAAGGCUUGAGAAAUUACAAAGAGAUUUUCUUUGGGGAGGGGGAAGCACGGGUAGGAAAAUCCAUUUAAUUAAUUGGAAGGUGGUGUGUACUCAAAAGGAGAAGGGGGGUCUUGGUAUUAGGAGGAUGGGGUUACUAAACAAGGCCUUAUUGGCCAAGUGUAUUUGGAGAUUUGUCGUUGAAAAGGACGUCUUGUGGAAGAAGGUGAUCGGGGUGAAGCAUGGGCUGGAGGGUUGUGGUUGGAAAUCUAAGGAAGUUCGGGGGCCCUUUGGAGUGGGAGUUUGGAAGGAGAUUUUGAAGGAGAUGAGCUGGUGUUGGAAUAACAUGAAGUACAAGGUGGGGAGGGGGACUAAGAUUAUGUUCUAGACUGAUCAUUGGUGCGGCAACGUAGCGCUGUCCCAAGCGUUUCCCCAGAUUUUUGCCUUGGCAGUGUGCAAUAACGAAUUGGUGAAUGAUGUGUGGGACCCAAGGCUUGGCCAAGGAGGGUGGAAUCUCAGAUUGGCUAGAGAUUCUAACGAUUGGGAGUUGGUGUUAAUAGAAGACUUGCUCUUCUUGCUAAGGGACAUCAGGGUAACCCCAGAGGAGGACUCAGUGCUUUGGAAAGGAGGAGAUUCUGCCAGUUUUCGGAUUCGGGUGGUUUACAAUCUGCUGGCAGCCCCUAAUCCUCUCGUCUUUCCGGGAAAAAAUAUUUGGGUGGACAAGGUCCCAACCAAAGUUGCUUUUUUUGCAUGGAAGGUACUUGGGAAAAAAUCCUCACAUUGGAUAGGCUGCAAAAGCGUGGGUGGCAGCUUCCAAAUCGUUGUUUUUUGUGUGGUUGUGAAGAGGAAAAUGUAAAUCACAUUCUUUUACACUGUACAGUGGUUAGGGCCCUAUGGGAAAUCGCCUUUGCCUUAUUUGGGGUUCAGUGGGUAUUUCCAAAGAAGGUCAAAGAGGCGUUGUUCUGUUGGCAGGGCCCUUUUGUGGGUAAAAAAAGGAAGAAGAUAUGGAAGUCCAUUCCGUUAUGGAUUUUUUGGACGGUGUGGAAGGAAAGAAAUAGGUUAGCUUUUAGAGGGGGUUCUUUGGCUAUUCAGACUCUUAAGAACUCUUUUGUAUGUAGUCUGUGGAAUUGGGCUAAGUUGUAUAGGGGAGAGGAGUCCUCUUCACUUUUAGGCUUCUUGGAGUGGGUAGCGGUCCCCUAAGGACUGGUGAGGUGUUCCUGCUUUUGUUUUUUUUGGCCUUGUGGCUGCUUUGUAUACUUCCUGUAUGCGGUGCGGCCUUUUGGCCUUCUUUAAUAUAUAUUCUGCUCUCGCUUAUCAAAAAAAAAUAGUUGAGAAGACUUACAAAGCACUUAGUCCCGAUAUUUGUAAGUUGUGCAUGAAACAUGGAAAAACAGUAGACCAUCUUUUUUUCCAUUGCUCUUUGACGGGGUUGUGGCACAGAUUAUUUUAGUUAGCAAAAAUGGAUUGGGUUCCCCCAAAGAGCAUCUUUGACAUGCUAUCUACCAAUUUUAACGGUUUUGAAUCUUCUAAGAGAGGGAUUGUUUUAUGGCAAGCUGCGUGCAUCGCUUUAAUUUGGGUGGUGUGGUAGGAAAGAAAUGAAAGGAUUUUUGAAGAUAAAGUAAGGAAUUCAAAAAACCUUUGGGAUUCUAUUCAUUUCCUUGCUUCUCUUUGGGCUUUUUGUUCUAAGGUUUUUAAGGGGAUUCCCCUUAACGUGUUACAACUUAAUUGGUUAGCAGUGUGUAAUCCCAAUGGGUUGGCCUAACCUAGAAAGUUUGCUUGUUUUUACUUUGUAUUUUCUUGUAUUUGAUUCCUUGUAGUUUUGUUUUUCUUUGGUGGGAGGAUUCCUCAUCCUUCUCUUGUACAUCCUUUUUAUCAAUAUAUUCCUUCGUCGUUUCCUAUCAAAAAAAGAGACAUUACCCACUCAACAUCAAAGAGAGCAAAGAUAAGAUGCCACAACAUAAUUGCCUUGGGACAAUGAAGGAAGGUAUAGUUUGUUGACUUUCUUUUCACUUUUGCACAAAUAACAUCUACUUGGAAGAUACCAACCCCUCCUUUUUUGUUGGUCUAAAGUAAGAAUUUUUUUCCAAAUUGUUUCCCAAGCAAAAAAGCAAACUCUCAUUGGGACCCAAGGAUUCCACACAAUGCUUGUGAGGAAUCCUUCCAUAGAGAGACUUGUUAAGGAGGACUAAAAGAACUUAACCAUAAAGGUGUCUCCAUUAGAUAACCGCCAAGCCAUUACAUCCUCAACACCUUUUUUGAUCACUUGCUCUUGCAACCUUUUGAGCAACUCUUCCACCCCUCCAGAAUUCCCAAUCAUUUAUCUACCUUGUGAACACUCCCAAGCAUCUUUAUCAAUAGCUAUAAGAAGCAACUCUGGAAAAGUCACAGCAAAGGAAUCUUCCCCAAACCACCUAUCCAUCUAAAACCUCACCCUCCUACCAUUUCCAACCCUAAAACCAACCAUAAUGUUAAACUUCUUCCACCUACUUUGGAUCGCCUUCCAAUGGCCCACCUCAUAACCUUCCCACAAAGCUCCAAAACAUUAUCCCCCCUCUUCCUCUCCAUACUUCCCUACAAUCACAUGUUUCUAAAGAGAAUCAUUUUCAGAAGAAAAUCUCCACUUUGCCUUUAUUUGAUUUCUUUGAUUGGUUCGGUUGUAAGUGAAGCGUUGUAUAUCCCUCCUUUUUUUUAGCCUUGUAUACAUCAUGUAUACUUAUAGGUGCUUUUUAGAUGCUUUUAAUGCAAAUUCUUUUACUUAUCAAAAAAAAAAAAAUAAGUGAUGGGUUUCUUCAAAGAGAUCUAUUAUUUUUUAUUUUUUUUAUUUUUACAGGAAACAAGAAUGAAUUAUAUUGAAAUAGAAAUUAAGAAAUACAAAAAAAGGAUGAGGAAUUCUCCCACAAAUGAAAGCUAAACAAAAUGAAAAUCAAAAGCAAAAAGCUAUUUAGUAAUUACAAAAAGCAACCUCUCCCUACUAACCCACACCCUUGGAGCUACACACCGCUAACCAAUCUAGUUGAACCACAUUGAGGGGAAGGCUCUCAAAAGAUGUGAUG
This 46690-nucleotide long non-coding RNA is filed under the name Vitis vinifera (wine grape). Its description in RNAcentral is "long non-coding RNA (VVIN_LNC005793)". The record is from RNAcentral. Lineage: Eukaryota; Viridiplantae; Streptophyta; Magnoliopsida; Vitales; Vitaceae.